Molecule: long non-coding RNA, 80580 nt
Filed under: Brachypodium distachyon (stiff brome)
Lineage: Eukaryota; Viridiplantae; Streptophyta; Magnoliopsida; Poales; Poaceae
Description: long non-coding RNA (BDIS_LNC005832)
Rfam family: MIR5070 microRNA precursor family (bases 28499-28615)
Source: RNAcentral
CCGGUGUGCCUCCCCAAACAAUGCUAUGAAUCCGUGUCGAAACGAGUCCAUAGUUGAUGAUAGUUUUGAGGAGUAUGUCCCUGAUACUAUGAGCCAACCACCGCUUUUGAGCCAACAACUUUAAUUGAAGAUGAAUGAUAGUGAGCAUGUCGAUGAACAAGAAGUUGAGGUCAAUGUUCACACGGAGGGUGAUGGAAUUGAUGAAAUGGAAUAUGAUGAAGGCACGCAUGAUGAUGUUUCCGAGAGGGAGGAUGAGAUUCAUGACAAUGAUGUUGGUGAUGUGGAGGCACAUGUGGAAGAAGAGGACAUGGACCGCGACAUCCCCUACUGUGAUGCCUUUAUUGAAGGCAUAUGCAUAAUCGUACGACCACUCACCGAUGUAGCUCAAGACCAGUGACCUGGGUUUCCGGCGGGGUGCGUUGCAAGAUACCAAAUUGAGCGGCGACCCGUUGUGGAAGGUGCCACUCGACAGUGUAAAAGCAUAUCAUCUGCACCCUUGCACUCCAAAGGUGUUCAUCACGCAUGCACAUUUCAUUCAAAUUUCAAGGCCUCUCACCUGAGUAAGGCAUCCGGUUGACCUACAACAUAUGGCAUUACUUCUUAAGUAAGGCGUCACAUCAUACUUGACCGAAAACUAAUAUACCAUUACCUGCUGGUGAGUGAGUGUGUCCAGCUCAUUGAUGUAGGACUUGUACCGCGCCAUUGACGAGGUGUAUCCCUCCACCUAUCCCACGAGUACGCUACGGUGGGACACAUCUCCGGGUCCGCCUCAUCCAAUUCUUCAAAUGGAGCCGGAUCCAAUUUGCAAGGGCGUCCAACCGCAUCCGCUCCCACGCUGAGCCUAUCUUCCUACAACAUGCAUGGUCCAGCUGCAAGUUCAAGAACACAUGUCAGUUUAUGAUAUUCAUAGAUAAAUAUUAAACAGGAAAUAGACGAUACAAGCAAGUACCUGCGAUAUAAAUAUGCAAGCCCUGCUGAAGCCCAACUAAUCUUGGCGUCCCAAUCUAUGAGCUUAUCCAAAUACAUCCAGGACAAGGUCUCCCCUGUCCCAUCUGGAAACAUCACCGUCGUAAGCACGUACCACAGGUAAGCUCGGACGUACUGCUCCACAGUAGCCUCAUCCGCAUCCGGUGGGCAUCCAUUUCGAUUGGCUCAUAGCCAAGUGUACAAGGCACCGGAUGGCCUCGGAUCCUUAACUCCUUCUUCAGGCGCGGGGGAGCAAACACCUAUCAAGUUUGUGACCCGCUGCCGCCACCCGUUAGGAACGACCACGCCUAUGAGAGCUUCUCCAUCGAUUGGAAGCCCGGUGAUCAUCGCGAAAUCCUGCAUAAUGACCGUCAUCUCCCCACACGGCAAGUGGAAAGAGUGCGUCUCCGGCCUCCAACGAUCCACCAGAGCGGAGAGAACCGUGGAGUUGAACUUUGGCAGGACCUGCUUGAACUAGAGGACGAAGCCAAGAACCCCCAACCUGCGGAAGAAGGGGGCGUACCGUGAAUCAUAUAUCAUUUGGGAGGCAUUGUGGCCCCUCAUCCGGAUAGGAGGAAAAAUCUGCAAAACACAUUUAACUAAUAAAUAACUUGUUUAAUUCAAACGAGUGAAAAUGUAACGAUCUUGCUUAUUACCUCUCCAUUUUCAAUCGCCGCACCACGAUCAUUAUAAUCAUAGGUACUAUCAAGCCCUGGAUAUCGUGUCCUAUCACCCAUCCUGCGAAUAUGAAUACAUAUGUUACUGUUAUAAAUUCAUCACACACCCAUUGCAUACCUAGGAAUUGUUGAAAAAUUGGCAUGAUGUCAUUUAUAUAUUGACUACACAGAUAUCUAAACUUACAUUCAUACAUUUCUACUAUGAAUUCAUCACAUACAUACAUUGCAUCCCUAGGAAUUGCACAAGGAAAAAAAUAAAGCAAAUAAACAUUGUACAAACAUGCAUCUGAACCACACAUUGCAUUAGGCUAAUACAUACAAACGUUCAAUACAUCCAUUACACCAAUCAAAUCUUACCAUGCCUAGGGUUUGAACAUCUCAACAAAUCAAAUCUUACAAGUCUAGGGUUUCAACCAAAUCAAUCGAUGUGGACAAAAUUAACCGGCAAAAUACAGAGAAGAGGGUGCGAUUUACCUUAGGAAUUGAGAGAUUUGAAAAUCCCUCAAAAACUCACUUGGAUUUGGGGUGGUUAGGAGGGGGAUUCGUGAGGGGGGGGGGGGGGGGGAGAGGAAGCCGAGAGCCGCGCCUCCCUGGCGGCCGCGCCUGUGAAGUCCAACCGAGAGGAAGGAGAUGGGAAAGAGGUGGUGGGCCGAGAGUUAUGGGGCGGCAACGCUAGAAGGUCUGGCGUUUCGGCGGAUGCCACGUAGACCGAGUCAACAGCGAGCCUCGCUCCGCUGACCCAACGCCACGUCGGACGCAACGCUAGAAGCGAAACGCCAGCGUGAGUGGCGUUGCCGAAAAGGGUCGUUUUUGGAAUUAGUUUCGAAGAGGGGUUAUUUCGGGCUCAACUUCCACAAAAGGGUCAGUUUUGUCAUUUUGGCCGAGAUUUUAUUGCUCCUUCUCGUGAUCUUUUGCUGCUUCAUUCUCCAUCUUGGUACCUACAAUUAGGCAUCUGGUUUUUGGAAACACUUGUAGAGGAGAAGUAAGUUUCUUGUUAAGUUAGCAAAUUGUUUCUGGAUUUCCAAAUACACCAAAGAAAGGUGAAAAUGUUUUGAAUAGAAGCCUAGGGAUGUCCAGAUCUCACAAUAGCAGCUACGAAAAAGGAAAAACGUGUCGUCCCUCGCGUCGCUCCUCCUGGGCGACUCCGGGGAGCACCCCAGCCCUUACCGCCGCCCCCUCUCCUCCCUCGCCGCCGCCUGAGGCACUCGCCGGCAAAGCUCGGCGCGUGGCUGACGAAGGGGGCGGCGAGGUCUUGCUAGGAUUCGCGCGCCCAUGUCUCGCCGGCCAUCCUUGAAGCUCGAGCUCGUCGUCGUCGAGGCGCUUCCCGGCAGCUCCACCAUCCCCUUCCACGGAUCCGGCGGCUGCAAAUCCGGAUCCGUGGGAGCCUCAGCCCGUGCAGUUGGCCGCCGUCCUCCGCGUCCCGCGCAGCCCCAAUGAGCUCCCCAUCUCCGGCGGCGGCUCCCAUGUCUCGAAUCUGGCAGCUGCCGGACCUGCAACGUGCUGGCCUGGUCUGCAUCUGGUCGUCGGCGCCGCCGGCCUUCGUCCUCACGCACCCCAAGGCCUCCUCCACACCCGCCAUGGUGCUCGUUGCCGUUGUGGGGCUCCCAGGCCAGAUCCUCCGUCCUCCUCCCCGGAUCCGGCGGCUGCCGGGCAAGACCUGGGAGGAGCACCACCGCAAGCCCGGUACCCUACCUCCGGCCCGUGCGCAUCCAACCCCAGCCAGCCACCCUGCCGUCCCUGCUCCUCCACCUCGCCUCCCCGGGUCCGUGCAUCCUGCUGUCCUCCUCGCCCGACUAGUUCCGGCGUGCCUGCCACGGCCCCCAUGCCCGAUGCAGAUUCUGUGGCUCCAACGCCGGUAUCAUCCUCUGUUUCGCCAUCCUCCACCCCACCGAGCCACCCCUUCUCAGAUUGCUAUAUUUAUCUAAUUUUCAUGUUGAUUAGAGUGAUGUUGUAUACAACUCUUUUCCCUCCUCGUCUCUCCCUCCGUCGGCUGUGGCUCAACCGCGCAUGCCGUCGGUAACCAUGGUUUGUAGAUGGCAGCUUUGGUGGCGGCACCGUUUAGUCUAGGACUUGGAGGUGUCUAUACAACCGUUUCUGUUCCAGGAUCCAUGGAUUUGCAGAUGGCGGCCAUGGAGGCGACAUCCUCCUGAUGGAGAUGGUCGUGAUAGAGUGCGUGUGUGCCGUUAACGGCCGAUCUGAGAUCCAUCCACCUCUAGUUAGCUACUCUAAAUCUCCAACAAACCUUUGCUUGGUUGCCUUUGAUGUCAUCCUAUAGUCGUCGUAUGUGCCCUUCUUCUAAACUCCGGUAAACCACCCCCUUUUGGGGAGAUACCUUUCAUUAGUGGCACUCUUUGAGAGCAUGUGACCAUCCUGUCACUCUUCUCCUUCUCUCGGAAUAACCACCCUCCGGUGGAUGAUUUGUGCGACAUUUACGCGUGCUCGAUGAGCCCCGCUGUUUAUUGUUUUUCCCAAUGAUGCAUCGGUGCGGCUUCCUGAUGAUGAUGUGUUGGUUUUUCCGGCUUAGUGUCAAAGCUUUGGUUUGAGCUCUCUAGUUAUCCCCCCGCCCCCCUCCCCGCACUCUGGUGUUGUCUGCGACAGUCCUCCUCCUACUGCUCGUGAUACCCUGUUCACUGAUUACAAUAUAGCCUAUGUUACAUGCUUAGCUCCUGUGUAGUGGGUUUAUUGGUGUUGUGUUGUAAUCAUGUACUGGGUUUUUUGGUUUUCCUAUGUUUGUUGCUUCGGCAAGUUGUAUUGCCCAUUGGGGUUUCUUUUCAGAAUAUAUUCGGGUGGGGUUUUCAACCCCCCAACCCCCCCCCCCCCCCGCCCCGGUUGAUGCAAAAAAAACAAUAGCAGCUACAGUAUCAAGAAUGGAAUUGUGCUGAUGGGGAGCAUAAACUUCAGUAUGAAUGGAAUUAUGCUGAUGAGGAGCAUAAACUGCAGAUCUUAAGUAUACCAGGGAGCAGUGAGCUAGGCACCUGUCUGAACUCUGAACACGCUUCGUCGACGGCCACUACUCAGUACUACUCUCUCCGUUUCAUAAUUCUUGUUUCGAAUUUGUCCAAAAAUAAAUCUAUCUAUUACUAAAAAAAUCUAAAUACAUGUAAUAUUUCGACAAGAAUCAUGGGAGCGAGUACAUCCGUGUCACGCUGCCGCGGCCACCGACCGAGGUUGAAACAAAGUUUUAACACCGACGCUGUAGUGCCGUGCCGCUAGUGCAGCGCCACACGCGCGCCCACAGGUGGCCGGCACAGGCAAUCGCACCCGUACUUGCAUUGCAUUGCACUUCACUGUGGCGCCGCGCUCGCCCGAGCGCAACAUUGCACGCUGUGCGACCUGCGCGGGGAUGGGAUAUUGGGAUGUCGCCGGGCACGUGGUGGCACGCACUUGCCAAGUGCGGCGGCUGCUGGAGCUGGACGGGAAGGGAAGCUGGGCAAGGGCUCCACCAGUCACCCACCCUAACCGGCUGCCCCGGGCGGGGCCAGGGACCGGCGCAACGAAAAGCGAUCGAUCGAUCCGCCCCGCCCCGCCGUGCAGCGAGUACAGGCAGGCAGAGGCCGCGUCAAUUGAACGCACUCCACGACGCCUGCCUGCUUUCAACAACAGUUCACUUCAAUGCGUCCUCAUGUCAUGUGCCUCCCAGUCCCAUGCCAUAACUUUACCCUGCUACACGGAAAAACAGUACUGCACUCCACUGUGAACUGCGGUGCAUGGCAUGGUAGUUGUACACUUGUACAGUACUACAGUCUACACGACCCAAUUCAGCAGAAAGGGCCUUGCAGGCAGGCAUGUGCUCCGAUCUCUGAAGAAAGUGUUGUGCUGAAAGCAUGAAAGAUACAUGUGUAGUAGUGCAAAUAGAUUGGGCUGGGAUUGGAUUGGCCAAGCUGUUGCAAGGACCAGCCAAUAAUUCACGUCCACCAUUAUUGUUGCGAAGGAUCGAUUCGAUAUAGAGAGAGCCCAUUGAUUGUUGUGGUCUAGUAGUGGGGAAGCGACUCCGGCUUCGAUCCAUCCAUCCAUUGAUCGGCCUCUCCUGCCGUCCUUUUUAAAAGCUUGCCAACUAAUGACAGGCAGCGGGUGCAACGGAUGAUCUGUUGUGUAUCCAACUGCAACCAUCUCGUUCUUCUUGGUUUUGUUUUGUUUUUUGAUGGAGGCAGGAAGGAAGGUGUACCGGGAAGGGGAAGUUAUGCUCGGCAAGUACGCCUAACCAUACAUACGUACAUACUGGCACGCAUUGACGCGUUCUUCAUCAUUGAGAUUUGGCCUUUGGGGCAGGAGCAGCAGCACACUCGGAUCUUCGGGGCAAUCUGACCGAUGUGCUGCCAACGUACGCACGUCCAUGUUCGUGUUGCUUUCUAACAUAAAAUCUUUUGUUUUUGCGGUACGGAAAAGUCGUGCUUGUUCGUUUUGAGAUUGUGCUAUUGAUUACACUCCCUUUCUUGACGAAUUCAGGUCAUCUCUUACUUGAAGCUCUCUUUUUUCACGUCGGUGUGACUGAAUAACUGUUAGGUGAUUGAUUAUAUAUGUGUGUGUGACCCGCGCACGAUCGAAGCAAAUUCAACUCAAUCAUGCUGUAAUUACAUAUUGCACAGGUCCGUCUCCUAUCGCCAACAUCUCUCAACACACGCAGCUAAUCGAAAGAAUUCUGAAGGAAGAAGAAUCAAGAAAUUCAUGAAACUUCAAAAGAAUAUAAAACAGCACACGGUAACCGCCCUAACACAAACACAAGAAAAUAUUUUCUUUCUUUCUUUACCCGCAGAACCUUCCAUAAGUUACCGAGCAGUCACCGUGAAAUGUGGAGCAAACUUCAGCUAUCCCGGAUCGAGCCGGCGGGCUUGAGCGGCCGGUCGUCGGCCUCGUCGACCGACACGCUCCGUCCUGGCCGCGACAUCGAGUGCCCCGACGACGCCGGCCCGCCGAGCUCGUCGAUGCGGACGACGAUCUCCGGCAUGGCGGGCCGCUGCUCGGGUACCGGCACGGUGCAGUCCAUGGCGAGCCGCAGCAUCUCCACCAUCUCCUCCUCGGCCCCCGGGUGCCUGAGCAGCUCCGUGUCGAACACCUCGGACGUCCACUCCUCGCGCACCACGGAGCGCGCCCACCGCGGCAGGUCCACGCCUUCGUCGUGAAGCACGGCGUUCGUCGGCGCCUUCCCCGUCAGCAUCUCCAGCAGCAGCACCCCGAAGCUGUACACGUCCGCCUUCUGCGACAGCCGCCGCGGGUCGGCGACGACCUCGGGGGCCCGGUACCCCGCCACGCGCAUCGACGGCGCGCCCGCCGGGCCCACGAGGCCUGCCAGGCCGUGGUCCGCCACGCGCGCCGCGGCGUCGCCCCCCGACGACCGGCCGCCGCCGCCCAGGAGGAUGUUGGACGACUUGAUGUUGCCGUGCGCCACCUUGGACCCCGUCGCGUGGAUGUACUCCAGGCCGCGCGCCGACGCCAGCGCGAUCCGCCGACGCGACUCCCAGCUCAGCGGCGAUCGCCCGGAGCCACGGUUGCCUGAAAUUGUUUCGUACCAGUUCAGAAAUCUUCAAUCCGGUUCGAAUAAAAGUGUCGAUUAACCACGAAAGCUUGAACGACGAGCGUUACGUACCGUGAAGCAUUGAGGAGAGGCUGCCGGUGGCGACGAACUCGUAGACCAUGAGCCUCUCGUCCUUGCUGAAGUAGUAUGCCUGCAGGGGCACCACGUUGGGAUGGUCCAUCCCGCCGAUCCCGGCGAUCUUGUCCCGGAACUCGCGCUCCGGAAGGGAGGUCUCCUUGAGCCGCUUCACCGCCACUGCCGGCGCGGAAUCGAGCGCGGCCUUGUACGUGGUGCCGUAGGUGCCCUUCCCGAGAACCUCGGCGGACGCGCGCAGCAGGUCCUCGAGAUCGUACGGCCUCGGCACCCUCCCGAAGAAGAAGAGCUUCUUCCGCCCCACGGCGACGGGGGCCACCGGAGGCGGCAUUGGAGCUGCUACAGGCGGCGGUGGCGGCCUCGCGUUGGAGACCCGUGGAGUGUACCCGUUCGGGCUCAUGGCUUCCUUGCUGUGCAGGGCCAGCUCCGCCGCGACGGCGUCCUGGCUGCGGUGGGUUCUUCUCGCCUCGCUGCUGCGCAUGGCGCCGCAGACGAGGACGAGGACGGCCGCGAGGAGCAGCAAGCCAGAAGCGGAGCCGAUCACAAUGCCAGCGAUGGCGCCGCCCGCGAGGUGCCGCCGGCCUCGCCCGGGGCUGUUUGUGGCUCCCGUGGCUUCGGGCGGCGGGAGCCCGGGAGCCGUGGACGGCGGUUGGGAAGACGGCGUCUGACACGAGGGGAGGGGAUUGCCGCACAAGCGCGGCAUACCGAGGAAAGACGCGGCCGGCAUGGCGCCGAAGCUUUUCGGGAUCUCGCCCGUGAGGUUGUUGAAGGAGACGUUUAGAGCGGUGAGGAACGGCAUGGUGACGUCCGGCAGCUCGGAUGUGAAAAGGUUGCCGUCCAGGUAGAGCAGCUGCAGCUUCCCGUUGUUGGCGAUGGUGGGCGGUAUCUUCCCCGAGAAGCGGUUCUCGGCGAGGUUGAGCUGCGUCAGCGCCGGGAGGGAGAGGACGGCGGCGGGGAGCUCGCCCGAGAGGUGGUUGGACUGCAGGUUGAUGACCCGCAGCAGGACGCACGAGGCAAGGUCGGCCGGGAUGGGCCCGGAGAGCGCGUUGUAGCGCAGGGAGAGCACGGCGAGCUUGUUGAGGCGGCCGAGGGCGCCGGCGGGGAAGGAGCCGCGGAGGCCGUCCCCUGGGAGGUGGAGCUGCGUGACGCGGCCGCCGGAACAGAUGAUGCCAGUCCAGGCGCACGUCGGCUGGGAUGUGUUCCACGACACGGACGCGGAGCCGAAGGGCGCGAGGAAGGCCAGCAGCGCCGCCGUGUCCGACGCCAGGUCGUCGGCGCCGCGGGCCGCGCCGACGGACAGCGCCAGGAGCAGCGUCAGCACGGUGGCUAGCGGCGGAGGCAUGGCUGCGCGAGUAAUCUAGUCUAGUCUCUCUUGGCUGAUCACACCAUGUGUGGGGAUGACAGAGGAGAGGGGAGAAGCAAGAAAGUAGAUUAACAGAUGGAAAGAACGUUUCCCAAACCCAAAUGAAUGCCUUCUCUGUUUAGCGACAAGGGGAGGUAGGUCAGGGCUAGAGGACUCGCUCCACGAAUGAUGUCUCCAAACUCGCAACGGCACGUCGAGACCUGGACGUGUUCAUGGCCGUCCAGUUAAACGUGUGGACGGUUCAGCUCACAACAAACACACUUGCCGCGGCUGUUGAUCGAUCCUACCUACGCUUCUACUCCGAGUCCUGCGUGUUGAUGCUGACAGCGUGAGAUUAUAAUCCUGGAGUAGUACUCCAACACAACAGUGCGUGAAAAUGAUCCGCGCAAUUGCAGCUAGCAGCCGGUUUGGACUUUUGUCACCUGCUGCAUAUAGCCCUAAAAAUGCGACUCGCUUGAUGUGAGGAGCUGUUGGAUGUGGACGGUGCAGGGCUUCUCGGUGGUGCAGAAACUGGAUAGACGACGCAGACUUUCUCCUGGCGCGCGCUCUGCACCACGACGAAGUAAACGGACGUGCGACCAAGUCCUGCUCCGUAACUGUCGGGAAGGUUAUGAGCGUGGUGGCCUGUUAAUGUCAUGACGCCGUGGGGGUGUAAUCGUUUGCAAAUUGUAUUUGUUAUCAUUAGUUCAGGAUUUAUUCCUCAGCAGCGUUGAACUGGCAACGUAACUUUCUUUAUACACAAGCCGCGUCGUGCUGCAGAAUUAAAUUGCCCAAACUAGUCGUAGGAAUAGCGGCUGAUGAAUAGUCAGUCACCGAGUCACGUCCUUUCCAACUGCAGCUUCCGGCCCUCUUCUCGUUACAGAAAGCUCGCCUCUGGCACUGGCAGGCGUAAUAACCUAGUGCAAAAACAUGGUCGAGCAUCAAACUUGCACGGAUGAAAUUCUGCAAAUGUCACGGCACGGAUUAUAUACUGGCCUUUGGCGCUUUGCUGACGGAAGUCCCGAUAGUUGGCUCUUUGUUGUGACAGUGUGGCACCUUUGGCACAAAAGAACUUGCCUGGCCUUGACGCAUACAGACCUGGAGGGAUAGCGCACACAUAGUCAUACAGAAUUAAAGAUCAUUCCGGCGGUGCCAGACAUAAAGAUUCCUCUACCUCUUGGUAUUAAAGUUAGACUUAGGGCAAUACACAGCACCAUCGUGGACUUUGGUCAUGCUCUAAUCCACGGCCACGGAGCCGUUGACCUUCUGUAUGAACCUGCUUGGUGGGGCUCCUUCAACCGCUCUCCUGGCUUCCAUCCAAAAGAUACCUUUAUUUCAACCGUAUGUACUGUAAAGUGAAAAGGUUUUAUUGAUAGUAUGAUGAUAUAGUCAUCUCCAUACGGGAUUAGGAGCCAACAAUCUGAUAUUCUGAUUGUAUGCUUCGUUUGCUGCUUCUUUUUUUACGGACGCCGUAGAUGAACAGAGCCUUAAUUUUUUGCUGAAUGACCACUGUACAUACAACUAUACAAGUAACUUCCCCAGCAAUGCAGGGUGAAUAUAGAUUUGUUAGUACUCUCCGUUUCAUAAUUCUUGUCGAAAUCUUACAUGUAUGUAGACAUUUUUUAGAAAUAGAUACAUCUAUUUUUAGACAAAUUUGAGACAAAAAUUAUGCAACAGAGAGUCACAGUCGGUAUAGAUUCCAACAAGGUGGCAACCAGUUUGUCAAUGAGUGGGGAGCAUUGAUCGCGAAACGAAAUCCCUGCUGUACUGGCAAAAUGCAGAGCAUAGAUCAUAGACCUUCUUCUAGCUAUUAGUAUGAGAUAGUGGUACUCCAAAGCUACGAUUAAUGCUCGAUCUGGGAUCUCAAGAUGAUCGCCAAGCUCGCUUUAUAAAAGCAAGCGGACCAGUGAUAGAAAUGGUAAGAGUAAAUGAGACCCGUACACACUACACACACAGGAGUGUACAUGCAUCAACAGUUCCACACACGCUACACGCGUCAGAGCGUGGCUUUAGGUCGUUGGUUGCCGGCUGAUGAGACGGCCACACGAGGGAUGUUUCGUCGGGGGAGAGUUAGGGAAAGUAUCCGCCGUCAUCUUCUGUUCGGGAUUCACAAGCUUGCUGCUACUAGGAGGUAGGAGUACCGUAGGUACGUGUGUCUCCAGUUUUGGCACACGCCGUACGCACUGGCGAUGCGAUGCCCGGCCUGGCGUGCGGACGUCCUGAUGGUGCUCACUUUCCGGACGCGUUUUUCACCGCACGGUCGGUUUCCAUGACAUCGACAACAGAUUCGUUUGGCGAUCUACUUCCAGUAAAUCCGGUGGAUAAUGAAUGAGGAUCGAAUAUCUGACGGAGUUUGAGCAGAGGUCGCUUUCGGUCUUUCGAUCAGAUUAUUAUCCGUUCCGGAACUCGAUCGUGUGGCAGCACUUUGUUGUUGCAAUACUUGUGUUUAGAAAUUCCAUCCUCGUAGGAAAUGACUUGACCUCGUGGCAGCCGUUUGGACUUGCUUGACCUGAACCAAAAUACCAAAUGAACGGCUGAAUCAUGAUGAAAGGAUGGAUAUGUGGCUCGGACGAUGGCGUGUCGCGGAUUCCACGGACCAUGGGAGUAUUUUUCUUUUUAGGGAAACCAUGGGAGUACAUUGAUGAACAGUAGAUGUGAUCCAUGUCUUCGUAGGAUCGUGUCGACUCUGAUGCUCCGUGCUCAGCAGCUCAGGGGAGUCAUGCUAUGGACGGUCCUAUAGUCUAGAACGGUCCUAGAGGACUCGUAGUACAGUUGAGCGUACAAGUUUUGUGUCAGAUGUGCCGGUGCGUUUGGUGACGCCAGUGAGUCCUCUUAAGAUUUGGCUUCCAACUUUUUUUUAAGCUUCGUUUGACUUCGCUAUAUCAACUUCUCGCUCUGUUUAUUUUGAGUUGUACAUCCUUCCUCCGUCCAACAAAAGAUAUCAUAAGUUUGUUAAAAUUUGGAUGUAUCUAGAUAUGACUUAAUGUAUAGAUAUAUUUAAAUUUAGUCAAAAUUAAGAUAUCUUUUGUUGGACGGAGGAAGUACAAAAAUUGUAAAGUCUUUUAUACUUGUAAACUUUUACAGACAAAUAAAAUAGCUUUGGUCACCCGCAUGGACUGCGCAGCUAGCAAUUUGUUAUAGGAGAUUAUUCAUCUAAACAAAAUUAUGUCUUACACACAAAAUGCAAAGUAUUGUUAUUUUAUUCCUCAUGCCAUAUGAUUUACUAAUUCAGGUUAGCUGGCUUCGUUUCUCAUGAUAUUCCCUUUUAUUAUAAAAUAAGACAAUUAGUUAAACUAAAUAUAGUUUCAUGUAUCACGCAGGGGGGAACCCAUGGCAAAAGAUGAUUGGGUGCACUGUUAAGAAAACGAAACCAAAGCUAGGUGAUUUUAAGAAAAAUGGGGACUAUUGGGGGGCGCGGGCAGGCCCACCACUCACAAAACUUUUUGAUGAUGUCUCAGACUGAGAAGAUCACAUUCCAGUAAUCCGCAAAAGAAAAUUCCUGAGCUCAUUCUACUUGUGCAAUAUGAUGUUUCGCCGGGACAUGGAUUUUUGGCACUUGAGACCCGGUGCUCACGGUAACGUGGAUCAAUCAAUUUCUUCGGUUUGGGCGUUGGUGGCAGAGCAGCCCGAACCUUUUUGGCCCAGUAGUAUGUACGAAAAAAUGCUGAGAUACUGGGCCGCCCAUGUUUUCAAAGGUGAGAACGUUUGAAUUUUCGGUCCAGGCCGGUGCAGGUCUGCGAGUUUUGUGUGAUGGGCAUAUGAAAGGUGCUGAUGAUGGGCCAUUCCGAACGAGGUGCAUGUUGAUGAUGGGCCAUUUCAAAUAACAUGUAAUUCCAGUACAAAUUUUUCCACCAUCUAAUGCCAUCGGCACAAGCACUCCCAGCACUUGAACGCCCGGGCCUUAUGGUCGAAACUGGAGUGCGCUGGCCACCAGCACGGACACUCUCAGGCCGAGCUCGUGCCGGCCUUGGGGACGAUGGAGAUUCAUCGUCUGAGAGCCACCAGUACAACGAGUGUUUUCGGCCAGCCAUGAGGUUGUCGUGUCAAAGUGUGGAGCUGUUUGCUGGUUGUGUGUGUAGCCCAGGUUGAUCGGUGAAGAGGAAAUGCAGCUUAAGGAGAGGCGACCCUCAGGGUACCAUUUGAUCAUCAUUAGUUUAAACAAAUGAACUAGAUUUUUUAAAAGGUUGUGUCAUUUUAAAAUUUUAAUUCAUUUGGUUGAACUAAAAAAGGUCAGAGGGUAUCCUGAGAGCCACAAAAUUACAGCUCUAGGCUUAAGCGAUAUUAAGCGGCGCUUAAGCGUUAGCGUUUGUACGGAUACUCCACAUACGGAGGCCUCACCGACAAGAAAAGAACUGGGCAGAAGAGUAGCAAACAACUCAAGCCAAGCACGAACUGGACGGAAGAGGAAACAUGAGGCGCGAUGGAGCGACGCACAGGGGACGAUAGAGCUGGUCGUCGAUCUAGACCUGCGGCGCGCGGCAGAUCGUGGAGUGGAAAUGAGGACGGAGGAAGAUAAGUGACAGACAGGGGACGGAGGAAGAGGUUGUCGUGGUGGUGUCACGGCAGAUGGCAUAUGAUGUCUUAAUUUGGUGUCGAUGGACGAAAGAGGAACCGGAGGAGGAAGGACGUGAAGGGAAACACGCACAAGUCACACAAACAUGCACUGAUUUACCCAGGUUCGGAGCCUUUUGUCGAGGUAAAACUCCUACUCCUACUUUAUUGUAUUAGCCGAGAUAGACAAGCUCUACAAUGACGCUCAUUCAGCUCUAUUCUUGAGGAAGAAGAAAAAUAAGGAGAAACUCUAAAUGCCUAAGUGCCCCGUCCCUUUCCACAGAGGGGUAAGGUUUUAUUUAUAGGCCGCCCAUGUCACACUGACAUGUGGGCCGAGUCCUAACGUCAUCUUCCUUGGGCCUUGCCGGGCACGCGGCUUGGUUCCCUCCGGUGGCACCGUAAGGGACAAGACAACUUUACUUUUCUCUGGCACCCGACAAAAAGUAUUACUAUCCUCUGCUGGCUUCCGUCAGAGAUUCUCUUUCGGUGCUUCUCUUGUGCAGUCGCCUCCCAUCGGUACGUAAGCGGCGACCGCCUUUUCCACGAUAAUGAUGACGCUCCUUUAUCCUCCGCCGCGUGGUCAAGAUAAGACCGUUGAGAGAUCUCGGCGUGGGCCGAGAUCAAGGUGCUCGUCCUUAUCCUGCAAGCUCAUAAGACAACAUAGUCAUGCCGGCACACGUCCAUGAUGCCGGCUUAGUGUUAGUUUGACUUUACAAUGCCGGCAUACAUAACCAUGCCGGCUUUGCCUCCGUCACCCCGGCUAGUGUUGUGUCGUCAUGAACCUACCCGGGGUCAUCCCCCCGACACUAGUCCCCGAAGCUGUUGCGGUCUGGCAGAGAAGAAUGUCGAGCCACGACAGUUUCCCAUAGACAAACCACCAAAGCCCGCUAGGGCUUAGCCGAGAAGGAUGCCGAGGCAGCCCCGAGUUCUCCUAGCCGAGAUCAACUCAUUCCGACAUUCCGGGUCGGCGUGUUUAACCAGCCCCUAGCCGAGAUUCUUUUCUUCUCCAUGGCCAACCGUUUAAAACUUACUUCUGCCGAUAUAGACGUCACCUGUGACUUGGACUCUGCACUCCUCUAAACUAACGGGAGGAUAAGAUCCGAUUUACUGCCGGUGCGCUUUUUGAGGCGAGCAUAGCGUUCCAUUGGACAUCAAAACCGACAGAGCCAUUAAGAGGGGAAUUUUGGUUCCCACGCGGACACUUAUCCUCCCGGAUCCGACGGGAUUCUCUGUCCCACGCCGCGCGGUAACCAAGUGUAUGCGCUUUGAUGGGAAUAACUGCCCCCAAGUUGUGCGCAUUCUUCCCGUUGGCCACAGAGAUAGUGGGCGUGGGGGAUCCGCGCCCCAUUACUGCGCCGUGAGUAUAAAUAGAAGGGAGGAGCGAGGGUAAAAAACCCUUCGCACUCUUCGUCUUCCUCGUUCUCCUCUGCCCCUUUGCUUUCUGCGCACUCCACCGUCGCUGCUAGCUUCAAGCUCCUCUGCCGCCGCAGUUCCUAGUUCUCAGCCACCAAGCUCGCUGCCACCAGCUCGCGCGCGCUCGCUUGGCUCUCCGCCGCUCUUCCUUGCUCAUUCAAGCCUCGCGCCAGCACCUUCUCCCCAAAAAGGCAAACCCUAGAUCUACUCCUAAAUCCAUGGCUUCUUCUUCUCGCAACCCCGCCGUCGACCCUGCUGCUCAGCAGGCUGAGUAGAUGACUGGUUCGGAGCGAGCCGGCUGGGACGGCUCCGAUGUCACUCCGGCGAACAUCAAGUGGCUCCAUCGCUCCCGGCGGAUUCCGGAGGACGUCGAAUGCCGGGUUCCCGGCGACGAGACCGUGCGGACUCCGAAGCUUGGUGAGCAUGUCGUUUUCCUUGCUCACUUCAAACGCGGUUUCGCUCUUCCUGCUAGCGAUUUUCUUAGGAAUUUCUUAGAUUUUUUCGGCCUCCAGCCAUACCACCUUCCGACGAAUGUCAUCCUUACUCUUUCGGCAUUCGUCACCUAUUGCGAGGGCUAUCUCGGCCUCUGGCCCUCUAUUGACCUGUGGGCCAGGUACUUUAUGUUCCGGCCCCAGGUUCUUCCCGACAAGGAGAAUCCCGGCACCGCUAAGCCGAUGAGCUAAUGCAGCGCCGCCACCGUUAUACCUUGCCGAGGUUCGGCCUUCCCUAGGAUCCAGGGUCUUGAGUCCUGUAAAAAGUGGCUCAAGACCUUCUUUUAUGUCAAGAACACCUCCGACACUGACAGAAUUAACCUGUCGGGAUUCGAAGUCGGCCCGCCGGAGGAGAAGAGGAAUUGGACGUAUGAUCCGAAGGAAACCCUCCCGGAGGUCAAUGAGAUCCACGCCGGCAUCCUCGAACUCAAGGACAACGGGAUGACGGCUGACGACUUGUCGGCCACUUUCAUAUACCGGCGUCUAUAUCCGCUCCAGCGCCGAGUACACAAGAUGUGCUUCUAUGGCGGCCAGUUUGAUCCGGACAGAGUGUCAACCUUCAAGCUCACUCAUGCUGAAGUCCGGCGCUGGGUCAAGGCGAUCGCCAAGACGAGCAUGUCGGAGCGAUGGACAUGGGGCAUGCCGGCAUUCAGCCGGGAUCGCCGCGCUCCUCCGGUAAGUUUUUGUUCUCAUUUAAUUCCUGUUCGCAUCCGACAUAUGGUUAUGCCGGCAUUUACCUGACGAAGGCUUAUCUCGGCUCAAUCUGAUCUUUUUAUGCAGAGGUUCUCUCUUCAGCGGAACGAGGACGAGAAUUCCCGGACAAACGCUUCGUGGCCCCGCGCAGGUCCAUUGAUGCCGAGGACCCGGACUCCGAGGAUUUCAUGCCGAUUGCCCAUGCCGGCCCUCGUCAUGUAAGGAUCUCCAACACUUUCUCGCAGUCCUUAUAGUAUUCGUCACCAAAAUACUUAUUCCUGCUCUAUCCCGGAAAUAGCCGACUUGGGCGAACUUGCUGCUGAGGCAUCGGACCCGGCUGUCGCUGUGGCGCCGGUCCGAGAGAUACGCGCAUUCGUGAAGCGCCCCGCCCAAAAAGAUCUUCCGCAGAACGUGAAGCGGAAGAAAACUGCGGCACGUGGACCCAAACCUAAGCCCCUGGUCGUUGGGUAAGGCCGAUAUUACCUCAACCAUCGAUGUCGGUUUCCUUCUUUAUUGUUAUGAUAGCGACUAACUUUUAUUUCUGCAGGGCGGCUCUGACGGCCACGCAAUCUCAAACGUGUAUCGCGUCUAAGAUUCCGGCGGCUCCAUCUCCCCGUGCCGAGGCUGCGACCCAAGCCACGGGUGAGACCGAGAUCGCCGUGGAUCCGACAUCCUCCGUCCAGGAUGUCGGCCCGAGCGUCGAUGCACCGAACGUCGCCUCAGCCGGAACCUCGUCUGCCGGGAGUGCUCCUUCUUCAGCGGUAACCGAGACAUUGACGGAGCUGCAGGCUACAGAGACUGCGCAGCAGCCGGCAACGGGGCCCCAAGAACCCCAAGGGCCGCAACCGACUCCAACAGCCCCAUCGCUGCCACCGCAGACGCAAGCCACUCAGCUUGCUCCUACAAAGGCUAAGAAAGCCAAGAGCUCCGCAACUCCGGCGGGAUCGGCGCCUCCGGGUUCGUCUGGCUCGCAGCCUUCCGGAAGGCACUAGGGAGUUCCCCUCCGAACGACCAACAGGCACAGCUGGGGGUCGCUGGGCCAGUUCGUAACGGACUGAAACAACGCUGACAAUUACGAGGUGACCACCAGCACCCUUCAGUCGGCUCGGCAAAGCCCCCUGGUGGGACCUCCACCUGCAGCGACUCCAGAGUCGGUGGCUACUCGGAUGUACCAGGCAAGGGUGGCCUUGUUUGAGGCCAACCGAUCUGCGGAGGUACGAAGAAUUCCUUAAAAUAUUUUACUUUUAAUUCCAGUAUAGUAUCCAUAAUCCUAGUCCCCGAGGUUUAGGGUGAGUAAGAAUUAGUCGGCCUGAAGCUUAUCCCCUUAAAACUUCAAACACUCUGCAACACUUAGAAACGUCAAACACUUAUCCCCCGAGACUCAGGCCAGGUUUAGAAUAGUCGGCCUGAAGUUUUAGAAACUUCAAACACUUAUUCCUCGAGAAUUAGGCCGAGUUUAGAAUAGUCGGCCUAAAGGUUUAAAAACCUCAAACACUUAUUCCCCGAGAUUCAGGCCGGGUUUAGAAUAGUCGGCCUGAAGCUUUAGAAACUUCAAACACUUAUUCCCCGAGAUUCAGGCCGGGGUUAGAAUAGUCAGCCUGAAGCUUUAGAAACUUCAAACACUUAAUCCCCGAGAUUCAGGCCAGGUUUAGAAUAGUCGACCUGAAGCUUUUAAUUGUUGACUUUGUACUGCACUAAACUUACCGGUGAAUCAUCAUUUUGCAGUGCUGUAUGAAUAAGCGCACCGCUACCUUGAAGACUUUGCUAGCAAAGUACAAGAAGUUAGAGGCGGAGCACGAGGCUUUGAAAGCCGAUCGCGAGAGCCGGAGUAAGUAUAUCUUACUGUCGUAAAAUCUUUGUCCGAGUAUCAAUUUGCUGCGAAAGCUAAUAUGUGCUCUUGUUCAUAGCCGGGGACAAUGCCCAAGUGGCAGAGCUCCUGAAGCGCGUCGCCGAAGUCCAAGGUAUCAUUUCCUCCCUAUUUCGGGUUUCGCCCAACUUAAACUCCAGCCUUUGUAAUGUAUGUCUGCCAAACAGAUGAGAAGACUCGGCUAGCAGAACAACACCGGGAGGAUGUGGCUCGGCUGCAGGCGCAAAUCGGGGCGCAAGCGGAGGCGCACAAGACCGAGGUGGGUGAACUCACCUCGGCCCUCUCUACCCAGGCUGAUGAGAGGAUCCGUUUGGAGAACGAGGUGCAAAAGUGCAAGGGUCUGGUCGCCAAGAUUGAGACCCGCGCCAUGGCCGCCGAGAAAUAGGAAGCCGAGAAGACCCGGCUGUUCAAGGUCGUCCGGCAUGAGCUCGUCAAGAUCGACACGAUGCUAACCAGUAUGUUGCCCUGACACACAUUUCUUCAUCUGAUCACUUGUCCGAGUAAUAGUAAGAGGAUGCCAAGACUCAUUAUUAUCUUCUGUACUUUUGUCAGAAUUCUUUCCACAAUCGAUCGAGACCGCCCAAGCUGCCGUGCUCAAGGCGCGUAGGAAAAGGGAUCCAGGCGGGACAAGUGAAGCCUUUGAAUAUGACUCAGUGGAUUAUCUGGUUAGCAUUGCUAGCCGGGUAAAGCCUCUAAAGUCAUUCGGGGUCAACAUGUUGAAUGUCGGCAUCCGGGCCUUCCGGGCUCUAUGGCCGGGAGAAGAGGCUCCGACCGGCAUCCCAGAAUUGGCAAUGCGCCUGCUGGAGGUGGAGGAUCGCCUCAACGAGUGGAGGGAAUCAGCCGCGCGUGUUGGCGCCGAUGAGGCCUUGUCGUUCGUACUGUCUUGGUAUGACGGCAUCAACCACGAUGUGCUACAGUCAAUGCGUGCCGGUUCCCCCUACCUCUCGGACCUGAAGCUGAUCGCCAAGUGCAAGGAGCGGGCCUAUUCCUUCAUCCAGUAUGCCCACGUGCAUUCGUUUGUUGCGGGCCCAACAUCCGAGGCUGAGGCCGAGAUGACCGACGGUGAUGAAGAGGAGGCAGUGGACGAGGAGAUUGUCGUCGAGUCGGCCUCCACUGCGACAGAUGCUCCGAGUUCCGGCGCCAACAACGCCUCUGUUUCUUCUUAGCUUUGCCGGAAAGAAAAACUUUAGAAUUGUUAGAUCCCCGGGAUGCCGGGUGCAUAUGUAACCGGGAUAAUAUACUUUUGUUUGUAAGACAUCGUGUUCUUAAUUUAUAUAAGUCCUUUGUUUAUCGAAUUCUCGACCGAGUCACCGAGUCCAUUUUUCCUUUUAGUAAAAUUUUAUGACCUCGGUUCUUUUGUCUGCCUUAUCGACGUUCGACUUAUGAAUCGCAAAGUCAUAAAACUAUCCUUUUGGAAAAAAUAACCUCGACGAAUUCGCUUGGCAAUAUCCGAGUUAGGAAGGAAAUGCCGGGUUAAGACAAUACGCAUCCUAGAUCGCUUUUUUGCUUGUUUCCGCAAUCGCUUUUCAUGUGUUCAGUUAUCUCGUACCCAUCUCUAACUUGCCAUGAAGCCGGGUAGCGGACAGCAGCGAAGUUGUAGAGGGGAUUUUCAAUACUGACACACUACUAAAUCGAUAUAAGAUUACACAACUAAGCCACGCUGACAUGCGCAAGAUAAUUGCGAUACAACAUUUAAAUGACAUGGAAGUCUCCGAAUUCCUUUUAAGAACCCGGCGGAUAAUUUCAUUGUCUUAAAACAUUCAACAUAAAAAGAAAACGAUACAAAUACUCAUCUCUUAAGUAUAGAACGGACGAAGCAAAGCUACAUUCCAAGGGCUCUUGGUCUCCUCGCCUGACCGGUCCAUCCUGUUCGCCUUGGGAUCUUGUGCAUCUAUAAGAUAGUAGGAAUCAUUGUGAAGCUUUUUGCUCACAAUAAAGGGUCCUUCCCAUGAGGGUGAUAGUUCGUGCAUGCCGGCUGUGCGCUGCACAAGUCAGAGACCGAGGUCCCCUUCCCGGAAUACCCGCGGGUUGACCUUUCGGCUGUGAUAACGCCUUAGGUGUUGUUGAUAGAUAGCUGACUGAGACAGAGCCAAUUCCCGUGCUUCUUCGAGCAGGUCGACAUCAUUUUCUCGGGCCUCUUUUACCUCGGCUUCCGUAUACAUGGUCACUCGUGGAGAGUCAUGUUCAAUGUCGGCUGGUAGGACAGCUUCUGCCCCGUAUACGAGAAAAAAUGGCGUGUAGCCUGUGGAGCGAUUGGGAGUCGUCCUGAGACUCCAUAGCACCGCCGGGAGUUCGUCCAGCCAGCAUCCCGGAGUACGCUCCAAUGGUUCGAUUAGCCGAGGCUUUAUGCCGGCUAAAACUAUGCCGUUUUGCUUUUUCAACUUGUCCAUUGGAUUGAGGAUGUGCCACGGAAGCGAUAUCCAGUCGGAUUUUCUUUUCCGCACAAAAUCGCGCGAAAGGUCCUUCCGCGAAGUUCGUUCCAUUAUCCGUGAUGACACUGUGCGGGUACCCAUAUCUCAAGAUAAUGUCCUUCAAGAAUGAUACCGCAGUUUUGCCGUCACACUUUCGUAUCGGCUUCACCUCAAUCCACUUGGUGAACUUGUCGACGAUAACCAAGAUAUGCGUCAUGCCUCCUCGCGCCCGCUUGAAUGGUCCCACCAUAUCCAAACACCAAACAGCAAAUGGCCAAGUGAUUGGGAUAGUUUUGAGCUCGGACGCCGGCAUAUAAAUCUUGCUGGCAUAUCUCUGGCAGCCGUUACACUUCCUGACUAUGUCUUCUGCUUCCUGUAAUGCACUUGGCCAGUAGAAACAAUGUCAGAAUGCCUUGACCACUAGCGUUCGUGAAGAUGCAUGAUGGUCGCACUCUCCUUGAUGAAUGUCCCGGAGUAUCUCUUGCCCUUCUUUUGGCUCGACGCAUCGCUGCAGGACAUUUGUGACACUCCUCUUUUAUAGCUCACCAUUGAUGAUGGUGUACGCCUUCGCCCUUCUCUGAAUUUGUCUUGUUGUCACUUCCUCUUCCGGGAGAUUCCCAUCUUUGAGGUAAGACAUUAUCGGUUGCGCCCAAGCCAGCACAAGACGAGUAGUGAAGAUCGGCUCAUCCGGUACGUCUAUCUCCAUUGGCUCAACCGCCAUUGCUUUUGCCGAGUUAAGGCGCUCAGUCCCCGGGUUACCGGAACCGUUGCCACUGUCAAUGUCCAUGGGGGUGACAUCGGCUUCUGAGCUCGUGGGAUAAAUAUCGACUCCAAUUCUGGUGAUGGCUUGAUGGAUGGUUUGCGUAAAUGCUCCAAUGCCACACCAGCCGGAAUGGCCUGUCGCGUUGAGCCGAGUUUCGACAAUGUGUCAGCAGCCUCAUUUUCCGCCCGCGGUAUAUGGUGAAAUUCGCACCCUUCGAAGUGGCCACUGAUCUUCUGAACAUGGAACCUGUAUAGCGCCAUAUGGGCAUCCAAUGCAUCCCAGUUAUCGGAAGCUGGCUGGACUACCAGAUCGGAAUCACCAAAGCAUUGAAUCCGGCGAACUCCAAUUUCCUUUGCCAUUUUCAGUCCGUGCAUGAGUGCCUCAUACUCGGCAACAUUGUUGGAUGCUGCGAAGUGAAUUUGCAAUACGUACUUAAGUUGGUCGCGCUUUGGCGAGGUCAGAACUAUGCCGGCACCAAGCCCACUUUUCAUUUUAGAGCCAUCAAAAUGCAUCUUCCUGUAGUUAGUUUCCGGGGGCGGUGAUUCAUACUCCAUCUCGGCCCACUCCACCAAGAAAUCCGCCAGAGUCUGAGAUUUCACGGCAUCCCGUCUGUCGUACUGCAGCGCGUAGGGUGCUAACUCGACAGCCCACUUGGUGACCCGGCCGCUCGCGUCUUUGUUACUCAUGAUUUUCGAGACGGACGCCUCGCAUAUAACUCGGAUCUAAUGUGCCUCAAAGUAAUGCUUCAGCUUUUUUGCCGCCAUAUAUACGUCAUACGCCAUUUUCUGGUAAUGGGGGUAAUUCUGCUUAGACGACGAUAACACCUCACUCAAGUAAUAUACCGGCCUUUACACCGAUUCGUCGUUUUCAUCUCUUUCCACCACGAUGACGGCACUAACGACUCGGUUCGUUGCUGCUAUGUAUAACAUCAUUGGCUCCUUCUCCAUUAGCGAGGCUAAUAUUGGUGCCGUAGCAAUCUUUUUCUUCAGCUCUUGAAAAGCUAAGUCUGCCUGUGCGUCCAUACAAAUUUGUCGGUUUUCUUCAUCAGCUGGUAUAAGAGCAUAGCUUUUUCACCUAGCCGACUAACGAAACGAAUUAGUGAUGCUAGGCAUCCAGUGAAUUUUUGCACAUCUUUGAGGCUUUUCGGCAAUUUCAUCCUUUCUAUGGCGGCAAUUUUCACGUGGUUCGUUUCUAUACCUCGGCUUGAUACCAGAAACCCAAGCAAUUUUCCUGCCGGCACACCAAAAGUGCACUUGGCCGGGUUCACUUUCAUUCGGAAUCUCCUCAGAUUUGCGAAUGUUUCCCGGAUAUCAUCCAGGAGCGUAGCGCUUUCCUUAGUUUUUAUGACGACAUUGUCGACAUAUACCUGCACAUUUUUGCCGAGUUGGUCGUGCAAGCAUUUCUGCAUGCACCUUUGAUAAGUAGCCCCUGCAUUUCUCAAACCAAACGGCAUAGUACGAUAGCAAUAAGCCCUGAAUGGGGUGAUGAAUGAUGUCUUUAUUUGAACAUUAGGGUUCAGCGGUAUCUGGUGAAAACCACAGUACGCGUCUACAAAAGACAGCAACUCACACCCGGCUGUAGAAUCGAUCACUCGAUCAAUCCGAGGUAACGGAAAAGGAUCUUUGGGACAUGACUUGUUCAAGCUGGUGUAGUCGAUACACAUGCGCCACACCUUGGCAGCAUUUGGGUCGUCUUUCUUCUUCUCAACCAUGACCGGGUUUGCCAGCCAGUCGGGAUGCAACACUUCCAUGAUAAAGCCGGCAGCUAGAAGCCGGGAUACCUCUUCCGAUAUGACUUUCCUUCUGUCGUCGGCGAAGCGUCGAAGGGGCUGCUUCACCAAUCUUGCGUCUGGUCUGACAUGUAAUGAGUGCUCAUCCAACUCCCUCGGCACACCCGGCAGGUAUUGAUUUGACCAUGCGAAGAUGUCCCGAUUCUCACGGAGGAAGCUGGUGAGCUCGCCUUCCUAUUUUUCACCCAGGCCGGCACCAAUGAUGAUGGUGCGGUCCGGGAACUCGCUGUCAACCUGUACCUUCUUUGUCUCCUUGACUGCCUGAAAAGCCACACUUUCAUGGGGAUUGGUCAUGACCGGCAGGCCAAUUUGUGCCGCCUGAGCCAUCGCAACUGCUUCUUGUAGCUUCUUCUUCUCGCCAGCGAUGACCAGUGACUCGGCCAAAGCAGAUUCGGCCACUGCGCACUCCAUUGAGUGUUUGUAGUUGCCAGUGAUGGUUAUGGUACCAUUUGGUCCCGGCAUUUUCAUCUUCAGAUAGCCAAUGUGAGUAGUAGCCAUGAACUUGGCGAGUGUCGGCCUGCCAAGCAGCGCAUGGUACGGACUACUAAGGUCCACCACCUCGAAAACUAGGUUCUCGAUCCGACAGUUCUCCCAUGUGCCGAAUAAGACGUUCACUUGGAUCUUGCCCACCAGGGCACAAGACACUCCCGGCACAAUACCGUCAAAGGUAGUUCGGCUGGGCUCAAGCAUGUUAUCAGUAAUGCCAAGUUUGAGAACCGUGUCCCGGUACAAGAUAUUUAUGAUGCUCUCAUUAUCAAUGAGAACUCGAGUGAACUUGAUGUUAAUGUUGAGCCCGAUGAGUGUCGGGUCGACCACCAGAGCAUAUCCACCAAGGUUGGGCAUAACUUUAGGAUGGUCUGCCCGGUUCCAGUUGAUCUCCUACUCCGACCAGUACAUGAACUUUGGAACAGCCGACAUAACAGCGUUAACCUCCAUCUCUCGUCUGUGCUGACUUUGCUUGUCCGUUGGCUCAGUGAUGAAGAUCAUCUAGCUUUGGUGAUGCUCCUUGUACUCAUUUCUUCCGACAUGUUGCGGAAUACCUUGGUCUUCCACCUGAUUGACGGCAUUAUUUGCCGGAGGGGGUCCCUGAAUCUGGGCGUUAGCGCCGGUGAGCGGUGGGGGAGGGGGCAACCGACUUGCCUCUCCGUUCUCGCCCGCUGCAUCCAGCUGUAUUACCGCAUUGUGUGAUUCGCAGGCUUGCUGGGGUUAGUCGUGUGAAAACAACAAGGUAGAUCCAGCAUCACCUCAAACGUAUACUUUGGCUUAUCCUGCCAGGGCUUCUUUUGUUCUCCUUUCUUAACCCACUUCUGAUUUCAUGUCUUCUGACGCUGGCUGGAGCCGGCAUCAGGUUGAUCCUGAAUAGCGGCGACAUGGGCUGGUCCAUAUCGGUAAUCUGGCCUGUCAUCCCUUCUCUUGUUGCGGUGAUCUUGAUGAUCGUUCCUCCGGAAUGCCCCGGCUGGAUUGUAUGUCGGCUGUUCCCUUUGUAGUUCUGCCGGCAUCAGCGAUGGCUGAGUCGGAUCACCAAGUGCAUACAUGUCGGUGAUCUGGAUCAUCUCAGAUAAGGUAGCCGGCAUCUCUCUUUGCAGCUUCUGUCACAACAUGUUGUCGUGGCGACAUCCUUGGGCAAAUCAUGCUAUGGCUUGCGAUUCCACUAUCCCUUCAUAGGAAUUGCGGGGAUUGUUCCAUCUUGUCAGGUAAUCCCGGUCAGUCUCGUUGUCUCUUUGCUUGCACAUGGACAACUGCUGAGGGCGAUUUGGCCUCUUGUAAGUGCUAGUAAAAUUGCUGACGAAGACUUCUUCAAAGUCGAUCCAGCAAUUGAUGUUGCCUUCCGGUAAAUUGUUUAGCCAUAUCCUUGCCGGCUCUACUAGCAUCUGGGGUAUAUAACGUACCGCCCAUCUGUGAUUACCGCCUGCUACACUUACUGCAGUGACAUAGUCUUCCAGCCAGUCCUCCGGCUUAGUACUGCCGUCAUAUGUUUUCGUACCCCUAGGCAGUUGGAAACCCGGGGCUGGUCUCUCCCUCAUGAUCCGAUGCGCAAAACAACGCGGUCCCGGAGGGCCUUGCUCCUCCAGAAGGUCAGACAGAUAAAUUCUGUCAAGCCGAUGUCGGGCAUCCAAGGGCGACACUUUCCUGUUCCCAACUCGGGCUCCGAGUGGGCCGAGAUUAUCACGCUCUCGCCUGAUAUAACCCUCUUCACCCAUGGCCGAGUAUCCGUCAUCGUAACGGUCAUGCAUGCGAUCUUCACCUCGAUAUGGGAAGUUGCACCCGACACCCUGCUGACCUGCAGCAGUAUUGGGUGCCGGACCCCGAGGUCGGUGUCCAUGAUCAAACGAGUAACAUUCUUGGUGGUCUCGGCGAUUGUCGCCGGGACGUAGGCCACUCUGGCUGUCAUCAACCCUUCUGACCAUCUGUUUCUCGCCUAGGACUGGGUCAUAACGCUCCAGCUGCUUAUCCCGGUCAGAAUUGACACUUUUGUCUCGCUUGCCACCAGGCGAAGACGCUUGCUUAUCAACUCGGCCUCCGGCAUCCGCUACCGAGUGAAUAACCUGAGAUGCGCCAGGAUUGCCGUGCGUUCUCGUGUAUGCCUCAUUCUGCUCAUUGGCUGUGCGAAGCAGCUCUUUCACGCGCAACUGCUGCUGUCGGAGUACCUCUCCUGUAAGAUUCGGCAGCUCUUCGGCCGCAGCCUCAGCAGCUCUGAGAUUGUUGACAGGGGUAUUGUAUUUCGGCUUUAAUGUCGAGGCGUAACUUGCCGACACCGCUGGCACACCCCUGCCAUCUCUAGUCAUCUCGGCAUUCAAGUUCUUGCCACGGUUAUGCACUUCUCCAACUCGGCUAGGGUUAGUAAACGUAGUAGAACUAAGACCAUAGGCUUUGUUAUACCCACGGAGUGAAAUAUCCAGUUGUUGCCGAGCGUGAGCAACGUCAACAGCUUCCUUCAGCAGUUUUUGUCGCUCCAACUCCAACUUCGCCUGCAGCUGGGCCGGGUUAGCGUUCGACGCCACCGGCGCGGUCAGCCGUUCGAUGGAGGCCUGGAGCUGGGUCGGCUUCGGUGGCAGGGCCGACGUGCUGGUUGAGCGGCGAUGUUUUCCGGCUUCUCCAAAGGGAGUUUCGCCAUUCUGCCGGACUUGGUUUGGACCGCGCCACUUCCCGCAGCGUCCCUUCCAGCAUCAGCGCCAUGAGCCGUCACCAUGACCUCCACACGGUCAGCGGGGCAGUCGACAUGCCGGCCGCGAACCGUACGGACGGCGGGGGGGGGGGGGUCUUUGGCCACCACCACCUGCUCUGGGUACCUGCAAGGGCUGUCAGUAGCAACAUAAACCUCGUGCAUGCCGAAGUUGAUGAAGCGGCCCGCGCAGGGAAGCGGUGCGUCGUUGAAGCAGCCCGCGUUGUUGUCGAUGAAGCCCAGAGAGCCGAAUCUCUAGACCAAACCGGAGACCACGCGCUCUCCGGUGGCGAGAAAGCUUCCCGUCCGGAUGAAGACUCUAGCUAGCGCCGCUGCUGGCCCCACGGUGAGCGCCAACUAUCGUGGUGGUGUCACGGCAGAUGUCAUAGGAUGGCUUAAAUUGGGGCCGAUGGACGAAGUAGGAACUGAAGGAGGGAGGACAUGAAGGGAAACACGCACAAGUUACACAAACACGCACUGAUUACCCAGAUUCGGAGCCCUCUUGUCGAGGUAAGACUCCUACUCCUGCUUUGUUGUAUUAGCCAAGAUAGACAAACUCUACAAUGGCGCUCCUUGAGCUGUAUUCUUGAGGAAGAAGAAAAAGAAAGUGAAAUCGUAGAUGCCUAAGUGCUCCGUCCCUUUCUACAGAGGGGUAAGGUUCUAUUUAUACGCCGCCCAUGUCACACUGACAUGUGGGCCGAGUCCUAAUGUCAUCUUCCUUGGGCCCCGCCGGGCACGCGGCUCGGUUCCCUCCCGGUGGCACCGUAGGGGACAAGACAAUUUUCCUUUUCCCUGGCACCCUGCAGAAAGUACCGCUAUCCUCUGCCGGCUUCCGUCAGAGAUUCUCUUUCGGUGCUUCUCUUGUGCAGUCGCCUGGCACCGGUAUGUAAGCGGCGACCGCCUUUUCCACGAUAAUGAUGAUGCUGCUUUAUCCUCUGCCGCGUGGUCAAGAUAAGACCGUUGAGAGAUCUCGGCGUGGGCCGAGAUCAAGGUGCUCGUCUUUAUCCUACAAGCUCAUAAGAGAACAUAGUCAUGCCGGCACAUGUCCAGGAUGCCGGCUUAAUGUUAGUUUGACUUUACAAUGCCGACAUACAUAACCAUGCCGGCUUUGCCACCGUCACCUCGGUUAGUGUUGUGUCGUCAUGAAUCUGCCAGGGGUCAUCCCCCCGACAGAGGUGGAGGGAGGCGUUGGAGAAGCCGCAAUUUCCCUCCCUUUCCUUUUCUACCUCCAAUUUCCCCGGCCGCAAUUUCCCUCUCUUUCCUUUCUACCUCAAAUUUCCCGGGCAGCCAUUUCCCUCUCUUUUCUUUUCUAUCUCCAAUUUUCCCGGCUGCAAUUUCCCUCCCUUUCCUUUUCUACCUCCGUUUCCUUCCCUCCGGCGCCGCCAAUUUUAGGUCUCCCGCCCACCACCGUCAUCGCUGGAAAUCUCUUUCCUUUUCUACCUCGGUUUCCAUCCCUCCAGCCCACCAAUUUCAGGUCUCCUGCCCGCCACCAUCAGCGCUCAGGCCGACGCUUCUGCAGAAAAGCAUCGCUAAUGCGCGCGGAAGCGCCCGCUCAAAUUUAAGCGCCACGCUUAAUCGUGGUUAGCGUGCAAUCUCGCGCUCAGUGCAAAUCGACGCGGUUUGCUACUGCCUCCCUUAAGCGUCUGUUUUUUAACGCUCUUUUGAACCAUGGCUGAGACAAAAACGAAAGAUAAAAAAUAAGUACAUAAAUUGAAAUUGGGGGAGCCACUUGUGCCGACGCAUGUUUAUGCAGGCUGGACCUGGACCGGUAGAGCAAUAAACUAUUAAGUGGGCUACCGGAAAUACCGGACAUACUAGAAGAACAGGUUGCUGUACUAAUAGGGUCCGGCCCAGCAUGAGUGUCCGACGAGAAAAUAGAUGGACCAGAUACCAGAAGGAUCGUGCAGUACAAGCACCAUGAAUCUGACCGCAUCGUCCAGCAUUUAUCGGCGUCGACCUGCUUACGUGAACUCUGCAAAAGAUUUCCAGCAACAACCAACACUCUGAACUGCCGUGACCUUUUUCCUGGGCAUUGCCGUCGUGGUGCUGUUCGCGCUCCUAAAAGGAUGGCGCAGCUCCGGCGGCGGCGGCGGCGGCGGCAACGUGUAGGCGAUGAUACUUAAGGUUUGUGUGAUGUAAAAUUGUAGUUGUCAAAUUCGUCAAGGUAUCUGUUUCCCGGCCACAACGGUUCGCAAUUGCAAUUUAUAAUCGUCGUGUACUCAUCCUUCUAUGUUGCUUUGAGCAAAGAACAUACAAGUGGAUCGAGUCUUCGAUUGUGUGAGUACAUACGUGCUAGUUCUACCUCCUUUUUCAGAAAAAUAGGAUGGGCACGCGUACGUACCUGGGAAAAAAAAUGUAUAACUAUCUAAAAAAUAUGAACUGUUCUCUUCACCGUCGUCUGUCAAGCUUGCCAUAAAAUUAGUGGCCCAUCAGAAUUAUAUGUAUAUUAGACCUACUAAACCGUCUGGCCCAUUACCUGCACCGAAUAUAUCUAUAUAUAUCCCAUAAAAUUUAUGGGCCCUCAAGAUUGAAUGUGUAUCAGGCCUACUAAGCCGGCUGACCCAUUACCUGGACCAAAUCUAUCUAUAUCUAUAUAUGUACCAAUGUACUUCCUCUGAUCCUAAAUUCUUGACUCAAAUAUGCCCAAAUAUGGAUGUAUCUAUUCAUAAAAAGUGUCUAGAUACAUGUAAUAUUUCGACAACAAUUUAGGAUCGGAGAGAGUAAAAGAUACGGACCGUUCCACCUAGAGGUGCAACAUGGUGACCCUUAGGGUACCUUUUGAUCCUCCUUAGUUUAAACAAAUGAACUAGUUUUCCAAAAAAAUUGUGUCUUUUUAAAAUUUUAGUUCAUUUGUUUGAACUAAGGAGGGUCAAAGGGUACCCUGAGGGUCACCCUUUUGCAGCCCUAGUUCCACCUUAUUUACUCCCUUUUUUUUUGUCAAGCCCCUGAGACCCACCUCGUCCGCCCGCCCGCAAACCACUCCUUUGUCCGUUUUAGAUGGCUGAGCUCCCCUCUCCUGGCGCAACCCAAUAGGAGACCCUUCCUAAUCCAACAAAAAUAUUUUCCCGUGACGCAGCGGAGAAAACACAAUUAAAAACCCAAUGAUAUCUCUUUACACAUUCGACCUUGCAACGGCAAAUUGAUCCUGCGAUGUACCAUAUGGUCCAGCAUGUGGUGCCUCCUUCCAUCCGAGUGCCGACGGCUCUGGCAUGCAGGCUCCAUCUUAUCAAACGCCGUUUAAAUUCAGAGAAAACAAAGGAACGGGUUCAUUCUCUCAGCUCUCAUCCCUGGCGUGUUGAUCUGGGCCAAUGGGAGCCGCUACGAUAACGUGCGCUAAGGCGGUUCAGCCGUGAUUAUGGGGGAUAAUUGAGGAGGGGAAAAGAAAGGAAAGGACCGUCGGAUACGGUUCAGAGCACCUGGACGGAUCACGGGCCGAGGAGGCAUCGUCGAGGGCGAAGAUUGCUGCGGACGACACGUGUGUGUGCUGCUUGUGGCACGAAAAGGAAGACGUGUACGAGUGCUACCGCGGACAUGGGCUUGGCGCUCUCGAAAAAACUGGCCCAAGAGAAAAAACAGGUGUGACUAAAAAAAAUAAAAAAAAGAAGAAAAAAAAGAAAGAAAAACCUAAAAAUGGUUUGCCUGGACCGUGGCAGCGCACGGACAUCCUGCCAGUGAGAUUAACGUUUGGAAGUAAACUUGUAUAAAAACCUUCGCCCACGCGGCGAGACUUUUCAUGUCUUCCUAGCAGGUCUUUUCCUCAAGAAAAAAUAAAAUAAAAAUUAGAAUAGCAGGUCAAAUCUAUCAAUCGACUCUCCCACAACAAUCUCCCUUAAUUGCACCUGUAAUUCACCGUUUAUCUGGACCACAUCCCGCAUCAUCUUCCUAACCACGUUUAUUUAAACAAUUCCCCUGUGCUAGAUUCUCUCCGGAUUACAACCUCACCGCCCUCAGACAUGUGGGCCCGACCUAUGUUUUGGCCCAAUUGUCAUCGUUUUAACCGUGUGUAAAGAAUCACCUAAGCCGAUACGACUAUCCCCCCCAUGUCCCUUCAUUUUCCUGGGCCCGGCACAUCACGAAAACCACAAACCGACAAUCUGGGACCAUGUAAGUCAUGAGACCCACAAGGCAGCGAGACCGCCCACAACUUAUCCAGAAAAUCUCCUUUACUCGAGCAGAAGUGCAGAACCCUACUGCCGCGGUGCCGCCGGAUGCCAAGCUUCGGCUUCACCAGACUCUUCGUCUUCCCCCAAUCCCCACGCCCCUCCCUAGAACCCCCGGGAUCUCCAAGAUCUCCUUGGGAUCCAAGCAAUUCGAUCGGAACAGCACCCGCAGCCGCCCUUAAAGCUUGCCUAUUUCCACCGAAAUUUCAUCCGAAUUGGAGCGAACCUGGCCCCAGUCUCUUCGUCAUGGGUGGCUGGAACCGCAUCUCCAGUGCCGGUUUCCUGAAGCCGCUCUCCGGCGUCUCUUUCGCCUUUAUGCCCGGCGUCGGUGCGGUUUACUUCAUCGUCGGCUCCGCGCUCGGAUUCUUCGCGAUGCUACACGCCUCCGAGUCCGAGGUCGGCGGCGAGUGGGCCUCCGCCGCGCACUGGGUCUCCCUUUCUCGCUCCGUGAGCGCCCAUCAACUGUUUCUUGCCAUGACCCUUCUGUUCUUGGCAAUCGCUGUUUGGCGCCUCGGCAAGCGCUGCGAUGCCGUGGAGAAGAUCGUCGGAAGCUCGGGCGCCACGGUGAAAGCAUUGCGCGUCAGAGGCGUCGUCUGCACCGUGUGCGGGACGAAGACACGGGGUAUGCAAAAUGGCAGCCUGGGCCCCACCGCGGAGGGCGCCCGCUCUAGCGGCUGCUCCGAUAAGCUGGUUGCGAGGUCGCUGGCUUCGGAACUAGAGCAGGAGGCCGACACGGAGGACGAGGGCAAUGCUAGCGAGGUGAAGGGCGCGGAAGAGGGCACCAUGGAGUGGCUGAGGCGGCGGCUUGCAUGGGAGAGGAGGCUGAAGGAGGCAGCGCUAGAGGAGCUGGAGAAGGAGAGGCGUGCGUCGGCUUCUGCAGCCGAUGAGGCGAUGGCCAAGAUUGCGUGCCUGCGGAAUGAGAAGGCGCUGGUGGAGCGUGAGGCGCGUCAGUUCAGGGAGAUGGCUCAGCAGAAGCAGCUGUAUGACCGGCAGGUGAUAGAGUCUCUUCAGUGGAUGAUCAAUAAGUUUGGCAUGCAAUGUGGGGAGCAAGAGUUGACAUUUGAUUGAGCCCUGUCAGAGACAAGCGAGGAUGACCGAGACAAGCGGUUGUAGAUCCUGCUUCCCUGGUAGCUGAAUGGAACAGUAACGUCAGCCUGAAGCUGGGAAUGUUCUUGGCCGUUCAGGUUCCUCAUUUUAUGAUCGGCGGUCAGCAGCCAUAUAGGGCCUCCCAGUGCUCAAAUUUUGAUAGCUGGUGCUGUUGUGAACUUGUGAUAAUCCUUAAGCAGGCAAAAUCUGCAGAAGAGAUAUGUAAUAGCCACCUGUAUAUAUACUAUCCUUUGCAAACUCUUAAGAUGUGAUUAACAAUGGUAAUUGAUGGUUUCAACUGCGCCAACGCUCAGAUGUUGUUUGCAUAACUCUUUAAGUCUAUUAUUAUGAAUUCUGUAGUGGAGUAGUAGUCCUUUGGUACAUGAUGCUGGAACCGAUAAUGAUAAAAUCUUCUGUUUAGUUGUAAGAUCCUGCCGUGGAGUACCUCAUAAGGCAUUUAUGAAUUGGGACUUGUUGAGUUACAAGUCACAUUUCAUCAACACAAAGAUGAAUGCUUUGCACUUUGUGCAUCGAUUAUUUGUUUGCUCACCUGAUGUCUUCAUUCACUGCAGCUGAUGGCAUUGGUAGCAAUAUAUGGAGAUGAUCUGGCUGAAUUUGGAAACAAAGGUGGCUCAACUAUUCCCAAGUUUCUUGUUCUGGCCAUCAGUGCUGUUGAAUUGCUUUGGGAUGGUGAAUUUUAGUUUUGGUAGUUUGCAUAUUUUUUCUUUAAAUGUCUGCCUUCUUUGAUAUUGAUAUGGUUACUUCCACGGUCGGACAGGCCUGCCCAAGCAAAAAUAAAUGAACCUCUUUUACAGGCAUGGUUAAAUGGAUGUGUCAUGACACCAUUUGGGCAGAGCGAGCGACUGGGGCAGGUUGUGGUACCGUAUAACAGUGGGUUUACUGGAUAUUUAAUUCUUCUUUGUCAUAUCUCUGGUCCAGAUAUUAUAUCGCAUAAAGGAGAUACCUGUGCUUCUCAAGAAGUCUCUCUUUGGAUUCUAUAAUACCUCCAAUGAUAAGUUAGAGUUAGAAGUGCUAUCAAUCUUUUCUUGAGGACCUCAAUAUGUGCAUGAUAUGCCUUAACCAGACCAAAGGUACCUUUUUUUGCUUGUUUCCUUUUGUUGAGGGUGUUUUCUGAAGUAUUGUGCCGCCAGCCAUAUGGCUUGUUUUCUUCCUUCGUAUUUGUAAUUUGUACGCGUUUGUAACCUAUGUUUGUACUGUUUUCCGACUCGUAUAAAUACAAGUAGUGUAUGCCUACCGGCGUACACAUUAAAAAAAAUACUGCCUAGUCACACCGAAAGAUUAUUUGCUAUUUAUAAGGAAUCAUCUUGAGUCUCGUUUGGAAGAACACAACUUAGUCUAUGCCACAUUCUUGUUUAACUGUGCCAUAGUGGUAGCCUACACCUGGCUGAACUUUCAUGGUACAUUGUAGAUAUUAACAACCAUUUGUCCCAAUGUACUGAACUGUUUGCCAUCUGCUGUCUCCAAAUUUCUGUUUGAGGCGUCAGGCGGGAUGACUGCGACGGACAUGGUGGAGGAAAUGUUGAGCAUAGAAAUGGUGUACAACGAUGCUUGAUUUUUUCCAUAAUGCCAAAUGGCCAUCAGCAAAUCUGGCCUUUUUGGCAGGUGCAAUAAAAUGGAGUGCGGCAACUGUGGUUAGUCGCUCUGGCACUCUGCUUCCGAUGUGGCAAGGCCAUCAGUGACUAUGCACAUUUCAGGUAGGAGUGAAACAAUUUGUAGACCACUAGUUUGUCUAGGUUCAGCAUAACACUAUCCUUUCAGUUAGGCCAUUCAUCUAUGUUAUUUUCUUUCUUGGAAACAAGGGAAGCAUCCUGGAUCUAUCAUUGUGCAUGUAUGAUUAGCCACUUCUAAAGACGGAUGGUUUCCUAAUUUCUCCGAUUUUUCAGCCUGGCACCGCAUUUACCGUGGCGCCACGUAAUGCUCUCGCAAUUAAUGUUCUCAUAUCCCUGUAUGUGCACCACUUGGGGAAGAGAUAUUUUUCUGCUCGCCUUCCCUCUCUUUCACAAUCUCCUGAUUUUCUGUCCACCACCUGUUCCCUCUCUCUCCCCACCUCUCGAUUCCCUCCAAAUGCCGCUCCACUGGACUGAUCUUUGAGCGUUUCUAGCAGCUUAGCUCCAGUAUAUACCGUCGACCACUUGUUUGCUGAAAUGGUUUUAUAGGAAUGGGACUCCUUUGGUCGAUCAUGCACUUACACCAAGAUUUGUCAUGUUGGAUACUGCAGGUAGAUAUUGAUUUUCUUACUGUAGACAUAAGGAUUUUGGAUAGUGAUCUUAUAUACGACUCUGGGCAGAGCUUCAUCCUGCUGUGGAAUUGUGACAGAUAGGUAUCGUAUGUCUCAAUCUUCUCUAACAGAUGAGUCAUCUGGGUAUUUAUACUUACUUUCAGAAAUGUAAGCCAGCUUUAUAGUCUUCAGCUCAUUUCAGAUACCGCAGAUCAUGGAUUAAUAGUGUCGUAUUACACUUACGAAUUAUAAUCUAGUUUCGAGGCUGCAGCGCCAGCAUAUUUACUUGCUAUACUAUCUACUAUUGGUUUACUGUAUGCCUUUUAGUUUCUAGUGUUGGUGUUGGUUGUUAAUUCCUUUUCCAGUAAGUUCAAAUUAUGUCAACGUAGAGGUAGACGGAGAAACCCAUUUCAUUUUUUAUUACGGGAAAACUGUAGGGGAGGUCCCAAUAGUAAUAUUUUAUUAGAAGAGGAAAUAAUUACAAGAUAGCUGUACAUAGGGGGGAAAUUUAAAACAGAAGGAAGGGAUGGAGGAAUCCAGCCCGGCAACUACAAUUGGCAAGGUCUGACUUGAGCCUAAAAGAAAGCAAAUAAGUAUCUCUUUUCAAGAGUACUCGCCAAGAACCUAAACUAGGACUGAUUCUAUCAAAGAUUUUGCUAUUGUGCUGCUUCCAGAUGUGCCAAGCUGCCAUGAUAAAAGCCUCUCUGAAGAAAGGUUUGCUGAAGCUAGACUUGACUUAAGUCAAGAGGGCGUUGUGAUCAUGGAGUGAAGUAAAAUCGAUGCCAAUGGAGUUCCAAGACGGUUUGCUGAAAGGCACUGCGGAAAUAAAUGAUCACGGUCUUCUGGACUCUGGAGCCUAGAGACUUCAGAGAACACAAAGUUGAUAGUCACCAGUGAAGAGGUUUUGUCUUUGCAGGCCUUGAGCUUAUUGGAGCAUUUUAUUUCCAGAUCCAGUUCAAAGAGAACUGCGAUUGAAUAUGUUGAAAGGUAUUAUUAUAAACUUUCUUCAAGGAGAAGUAGCUUCUCAUUAUUCUACUGUUAAUUUCUUCAGUUGAUGUCCUAUUAUGGGUCUUCUUUUUGUUAACUUGUUCCCGUGAGCUCUUUUUGUCAGGUGGAAGGGGCCUUUUGUCAGGGAGUCGGUCAUGUCAUGAGCGACGAAUACGUGAUGUGACCUACUCGGACGGGUUAGUUGUCUCAGAUGGGGUAUGGACAUACAAAACAGUUCAAUGUUGAGCUGCUCAACAGUGGAUUCCACAUGAGCAGAGUGCUCUCUUCGAAUGGUACUCAGCUUUUAAUUUGUUGGACAUCUAUGUGCAUGAAUCGACGACAUCUUAUUAUGUCCAAAGACAAUUCACAAAAUUUGUUAGAUUGCAAUCAUUUGCUGCAGCUUCCAAAAGUUUUUGCUGUGAAAACUUAAGAGCUAGAUACUUGCUUAGUCGUGCGUGUAUCUUAUUUACAAGUAGAUUCCUAUAGCAGUCUUUGCAUUAGUGUUGUGUAACACAUCCUGUUUCAGGAUUUAUCUUGAAUUCUUGAUGCACACUGUAAUCAAUUAUAGCAUGUGAUAUUUUAUUUCCUUUUUUCUAAUUAGCCAGAGUCAUUGGUCUGAAGGAAUCUGAAAAAUCAUUGACCGGUAUGUCUGAAGCCAUUUGCUGCUUCAAUUGGUUUAGCAAAAAAGUCAGCACCCAUCUCUGUAGGAAUUAUACUUCAUAAAUUCUAUGCAUCCACAAACUAGGUAUGUAAUCACAUUAGCCUUGAGAACGUGAAGUUCGAUUUUACUGCAACAGUUUCUUGGUUUCAGUGAUCUCAGCUAUUGUAAUUCAACAUUUUAUUAACCCAAUUGGUACCAACUGGCAAGGGAAUUUGUGAAAGUUGUGUUUGAAUGUUGCGCAACGGAGAUCAAUGAAGCAGCAAAACAGAACCAACGUAGACCUGGUUCGAUGAUCCACCUUUCCUAUCUGUUUGCCAUGUAGUUUGUGUUGUGGUGUGUUAUAGAUUGAUUGUCAUGCUCAUACGCAAACAUACAUCUAGUGGUAGGCAUCCGUGGUGAAGUACUUUGUACUUCAUUAGACUGAUGAGUUUGGAUUCAAGAUUCUCCUUCCUGUUUAUGUAAUUGAGAAUACCCUCUGGCGGGAUUGUCCAGUUUUCUCAACCAUUUCUAGAUGUGUUUAUAGGUAGAAAGCCACCAUUGCCUGCACAAAUACGCCUUUAUUCAUCAAUCUUCUUGCUGUGGUUUUGUUCAUUGGCAAAGGAAGCACACUUCUAGUUCUAAUUUUGUAGCUGCCCUCGUUAAAGUCUAGCCAAGAUCGAUCUUGCUCUCGUAAGUCAAGACGUGCCUCUUUGGUUCCAUAAAUACUACGAUGGCCCUAAACUCUGUCAGAUUUAUUUGUCUUGAGAUGCAUACCAUUUUCUGAGCUCGACAACAACAGCAGCAAAUGGACAGUGCGCUAUACCACUCUUUGAACCUCAAUUCGGUUUAACCAUGACAUAAUUCUUCGUGUGUUCGCUGACUUGUUAUUUCUUCACUUCGAUAUUUGUUCAACUUUUGUGUCAGUGGCUGCUUUGAGAUCCUCUGAUUCUCUUGGAUUGGUUGAGGUGUUCCAUCAGUUCGUUUGUAAACUCACGGAGAAGUCCAGCAGCACAACGAUUUGUCACUUGUCUCACUUCCACCUGUAGUUGUUUGUUGGGCUGAAUACAGUUGCUCAGGUACUACCCUUGUUGUCAUGUUUGAUUUUGACCUCUUUCGACCUUUCACUGCAUUUCGUGCUCCACGGUUUGGUCGUAAGCUGGCCUGCGCGAGCAAAGAUAAUAUCUGGAACUUCCUCAAUGCGAACAAAGUCUAAUGUUUCUGGAGCUUGCCUGUUCAAUAUGGGAUCAUGUCUGCAAAUUCAUUGAUUGUUUUGAGAAGGAAUGAAAGAGCCGUCAUUCAACUUGCAUGAUUUGCAAAAGCCAAAUGUUUAAUUUCCCUAAAACCAACCAAAUCUUGGUAGUUCUCCUGAGGACGAGGCAGAUUUAUCAGAACUGUACUCGGAACAAGUACUUCAAAUAAAACGUAAUAAAACCUUUGCGUCUUAAUGCUCAAUCACACUUCAAGCAAUGUUGAACCGAGCUGUCGAAGAGGGUCUCCCGGUUUUUGAAAAAGAGAGUAGGCAUGGGCUGGGUUUUUUACACGGUACUCAGCGAGCAAUUCUGCUCGUUCCGUGCUCGGCUUAUUUAGAGCUUGGCGUGUUAGACCAACAAACCGGUUAGAGCACCUCGUGAAACCCGUUAACAAUAACGAGCUAACGAGCAACGAGCAUGCUUGUUAGUUUUAUCACAUGUGCGUGCCGAUCGAAUAGUUCGGCUCUCUCCCCUCCCACCCUCUGACCUCUUCCUCUCGUCUUGCAACCUUGACCUUACAAUAGACUCGUCAACGAAGACUCGAGGGCGACGUCUACUCUCUUUUCACUGUUAACGAGCGUCCGACGAGCGCUUGGGAAUAUUAACGAACUGAACCGAACAUGAUUUGAAGAUCGUUAAGGUUAAUGAGCCUAACGAUCUGAACUCUUAAACGAACCGAGCUCUUAAGGAAUGGAGCGUAGAACUGAUGGAACGGUAUCAGUGUAUUCUCCAUCCGUUGAACCGAGCUAUUCCCCCUGACUCUGAGGCCACUCCCUCUGAUCCCACCCCACCAUACACAAUGCGGAGAGCCCUCCGCCCUCGGCAGCACCCCCCGCCACCCUCCUCUCUCCCAUGGUACGCCCCACCGCCGCAGCCGCCGCCGUCGCACUCGCCGUCCACGACCGAGGCCGACCCCCUGAUCGUCGCCGCCUCCGAAGUCGCCCUCGCUCUGCCGGUCCACCCCGCCCCGCUCCCGGCCACCGCUCCACCGCCGCUCCUCCGCCUGCUCCCGGCUUUCACCUCCGGCCACUUCCUCUCCCUCCUCCGCCGCAACCCGCUCUCCCUCCCGCCGCUCCCGAUCCUCUCCCUAUUCCGCCUCCUCCUCCUCGCCUCCCCUCCCGGCCUCUUCCGGCACACGCCCUCCUCCUUCCUCUCCAUGUCCCACCACCUCCUCGUCCACCGCCUCCCGCACCUCGCCCGCCCGCUCCUCCGCCUCCUGGCCUCCCGGCUCGGCCGCUCCUCCGCGCCGCGCCUUCUCCCAGACCUCCUCCCCGCCGCCUCCCCCGGCGACCCCGCCCCUCUCGUGUCGGAGCUCGCCGCGGCAUACGCCGACGAGGGCCUCCUGCCCGACGCGUGCUCCCUCGUCCUCCUCGCCCUCCGCCGCGGCAUCUCCCUACCGGCACCCGUGUGCUCCGGCCUCAUGAGCCGGCUCCCGAGUACUCCCGAAGCAUACACCUUCUACCUGCAGCUGCUUGACGCGGGCAUGGCCCCGGAGACCAGACUGUUCAACGUGCUGAUGCGAGAUUUUGUUAGACUCGGGGAGCUUGUGAGUGCACGCAAGGUGUUCGACGAAAUGCGGAGGAGCGUGCAGCCGACAGUGGUCACCUUCAACACCUUGAUUUCAGGCAUGUGUAGGGCACGUGAUCUGGACGCUGUAGAUGGUCUGUAUAAGGAAAUGUCGGAUGUGGGCGUCAAACCGGACGUCUAUACUUAUGGUGCUCUGAUAAAGGGUUUCUGCAGGACAGGGAGGAUGGAGAACGCGGUAAAGAUGUUUAAUGAAAUGCGUGAUACAGGCGUGAACCCCAACGCCGUUGUGUUCACAACGUUGAUAGAUGCACAUUGCAAGGAGGGGAAUGUGAAUGCUGGGAUGGACUUGUACCAGGAUAUGAGAGUAAGAGGCGUCAUGCCAGAUUUGGUGGCAUACAACGCACUGGUGAACGGGCUUUGUCGGGCGAGAAAUUUGAAGGCUGCUGAAAGCAUCGUGGAAGAGAUGAAGAAUGCGGGUCUCAAGCCGGAUAAGGUGACUUACACUACCCUCAUUGAUGGUUGUUGCAAGGACGGCAAACUAGACAUGGCAAUGGAUAUUAAACAGAAGAUGGCAGAAAAGGAGGUUUCAUUGGAUGAGGUGACAUAUACAGCGCUCAUCUCGGGGCUGAGCAAAGCAGGACGGCCAGUCGAUGCUGAGAGGGUUCUGCGUGAGAUGAUGGAAGCUGCUUUGGAGCCUGACAACACGACCUACACAAUGGUGAUUGAUGCCUUCUGUAGAAAAGGUGACGUGAAGACAGGCUUCAAACUACUGAAGGAGAUGCAGAACAAGGGUAAAAAACCGGGAGUUGUGACAUAUAAUGUGAUUAUGAAUGGGCUCUGCAAGCUGGGGCAGAUGAAGAAUGCUGACAUGCUUCUGCAUGCAAUGCUUAAUAUAGGUGUGUCCCCAGAUGAUAUCACAUACAACAUUCUUCUGGAUGGGCAAUGCAAGCAUGGAAAAGUUGCCAAUUCUGAAGAACUGGAGAGUUCAAAAGGAAUGGUGCCAGAUUUUGCUGUCUAUACUUCACUAAUCAGCGAACUCGCCAAGAAGAAGCCAGCUAAGAACUACCACGAUAGAUAAGGUUGCUGAAGUGGGUAAAGGUAUUUUGACUACUCACUCGUCAGUAAACGGCCCUUGAUCUGGAAGACAGAAAAAUGGAAUAUGAAUACUGAAUAGGGUCAGCAAGUUUAGGCAGGUGAAUAAUGCCAAUCCACUCCUCGAAGCUCAGGAUUCUAAAAUAUUGACAACCAGAAUACCACAUAUGUUUCUUGAUUAUGUACUUUCACUUCUCUGAUCAGUAAAUUUAUGAAGAUGGUGACAGAUGUUUACUCCAAGGUUGAAAUUUGAGACGUCUUGAGCAGUUGGUCUACCUGUCAUAUGUACCAAUGAUGUGUUGCUGGCCCAUGUAUAUAGGCUACAAGGGCUGAGAUGAUUCUCCCUCUGCAUAGCCGGAUGAGAGCUCGUAAUAUUUUUAUUUUAUCUUAUCAACAUUUAUUCAUGACUAAGAGAAAGGUAAACAAGACUAGCUUCGUCGGCAAUUGAUAAUGUAAUGCAUUGUUCAAAGGAUCUGAAUUCAUUGCAGACUAGUCAAAAGUUUGGAUACAAAUGCAGAAAGGCCCCUGAACAACCUAUCUAGCUUGCACAGCCUUCGCCAUUCCAUAUGCUGCAGCAGAAGCAACAGCACCAAUUAUAGUAGUCUGUAUAGCGCUAAGGAACGGGCGGCUUCCAGUAAAGCGACCCUUUAUGUACCCAAAGACGAGGAGCGCAAGAAGUGUGACUACGACUGAUGUGAGCAUGGCGUCCUGGACUGUGGAGAUGAACAUGUAGGGCAGGAGAGGGACCAAUCCACCGAUGACAUAAGAUAGCGCUAUUGUGAAAGCACUCUGCAAAGCUCUUCUAGGGUCCGGCUUCUCCAAUCCGAGUUCAAACCUGAACACGAUGCUCCGGUUAGUAAAUCAAUCAUGUGCAGUAUGCUAUUUCUGGUUGCUCACAGUAUUUUUCUUUCCUUCACAGCUAUGUGGCGAUAUCCACAUUUUUAAUCAAGUACAAUCAGAAACGGAGCAAUACAUAGUGUCAGCAGCUGCUAUUCAUACCUCAUCAUGAACUCGAGCCAAGCUUGUGGGUUCCUUCUGAGGCCCUCCACGACAGGUCCAUACUCAUGCGGUUCAAGCCCAUACUCUGCCAUGAUAUCUCCAAUCUCAGCAGCCUCUGGAUGAUCAGUAAAGAAGUCAAAACACCAAAAGUAAGGCUGCAAGUCAUACAAGGAGGAAUCUGGGAACAUGUUUUCUUGCUAUAUCCAUGUACCGGUUUCUGGGACGGCAAUGAUCUCCUCCUGCUCCCUCUUCAUCUCCCGCUUGUAAUGAUCUGCCUCGCUUUUGGCCGCCAGGUACCUAACACAUGGCACAGUGGCGAAUCAGAAAUUCACAAUAAUACAUUAGUGGGCACUUUUUGAAUUGAAAACAAUGUGAUCCUGUCUUGUUCCACAGUUUAAAGCGAGAUUCUCCACUAUGACUUGUGGGCACUUUUUGAAUUGAAAAGCUGUGAUACAUAUAAAGUAUGCUACAAUAGCACGUUGAAGAGGACCACAAGCCCACAUACUUGUCUAUCACAGGCUAACCUUUCGCCAGUAACGUUUUGGGUUUAGAUAAGUGUAAGUUACAAGUUGAUGUUGAAGCUAAAGCAAAGUACUGUCAGCCAGACAGGAAUGCAGUGUGCGACCUACAGAACAAUUAACACUGGGGUGUUCAUGAGGUAACAAAACAAGAUUCAGCAAAUACACCCGUGACCCUGUGAAUAUAUGCAGGUCAGGUACGAAAGAAUAUUUAAGAUGCUCCCUAUUAGAGGAGUAUUUAAUCCUAGCUGUCAAGUGAUCAAAGGUAAAUUUGGCUAUAUAAGCAUGGUGAGUACAACAAGUAUUUGACAGAUUUAGUGUUCACUCCUUCCAGUAUAGAGAUUCCCAUACAUAUUAUGCAUGUUGGUACAAUUUAAAACAUUGUAUACGCACUCUUAUUUUCAUUUUUACCUCGUACAUUGAAAUAUGCUCAUUUUUGUUAUUACCAAGUGAAAUUUGUAAAACAAUAUAUUUAUGUAUUGUUAUCACAGAAGCAUCCAAAGUUACACAUUUAAAGAACGUUCGAAUAUAAAUUAUGUUUACAUACUUAAGAUGUGCACAUGUACUUCAGUCGUAAAUGUGCAUUAUGUCUAAAUUCCUUAAGUAAUUAGUAGUCCAUAGAACGGUGUACUUCAAUCAUGUAUAUAGGUACAGAGUAUUUGAUAUGUUACAAGCGUAUAUUUCUAGCAAAAUGCAUCCAGUUUUUCAUCUAAAAUUGGUAAAUGUGUGUCCCAAAAAACAAAAUAACUCCAUGCAUGGUGCCAGCUUGCAAGGAAACCACAAUUGGAAUGGAGUUAAUAUUAAUUAAUUAGUACUACUGUUAUAACCUUCCUUAUUUGUUUCCAUUCUUUAAUGACGAUAUAGUUUCCUUAUUUGUAGAAGUUCAAAGUCCAUGACACCCCUACAUAAUCUUGAUAGCAUCUUACCUCAUAGAGGCAAUAUUAGCCACUAGAUCACCAAAAGUUAUCGGCUCGUAUCGAUUUGGAAGCAUCUUAAAAGUGCUCUACAUACAAGUACUAGGAUAUGCAGAAAUACAGACGUACAUUCACGAUAAGCUGCAGAUGCAUUCUAAUACUCACUCCGUACGACAAAAGAUGUCUCAACUUUGAUCAAAUUUGAAUGCAUCUAUACACUAAAUAUUGUCUAGCUACAUCCAAAUUUUGACAAACUUGAGACAUCUUUUGUCGGACAGAGGUAGUACCAGAAAUCUAUAAUCCUAACAGCAGGGGCAAUGGAGUAUGCAUCUCUAAUGUCUACGCGAUCUGGACAAAUUACCCGUGCGUGCAGUUAAAGUUUUUCUAAAGGGUUACAGUUCAGAAAGAAGAACAAAAGGACAAAACAAUCUGUAACGUAAACAUCGAUAACUUCGCCAGACGAAUAACGGUGCAUGAUUGUUGAAGAGGAAAGCAGAGGGGGUCAGCGUUAAUUGGUUACCCUCCAAGGCCCAUGGAGAUGGCACCGGCGGCGACCUCGGCGAGGCCGGCGGUGAGGACGAGCGAGGACGGCGCGCUGGCGCCGGAGAGGCCCGCGGCGAGGGCGAAGGGCACGGUGAGGCCGUCGGAGACGCCCAUGAUGACGUCGCGCACCACCUCCCCCGCCGUGAAGUGCCGCUCGCGGUGGCUCGGCGGGCCCUUGGCCAGCAUCGGCUGCUCCACGUCGCCGUCCAUCGCCCCGCCGACAGACAGAAACAGAAGCAAAGCCGACGAGCGAGACAGAUGGAAAGGACGGGAGCUACAAGUCUGUCGACCGGGCUUCCGGUGCGUUUGGAGUUUGGACUCCCGUCUCUUGGCAAUCUCGAUUUAUAGAGCUGGCUUAAGUUAGUAGCACAGCGGCGGCGGAGGGCUGGCGUAUAUUUGUGUGAUGGGUACUUUUUUGUGUGGUAGGUACUUAUGGCAAGCAGUGUAUACUCUCCUCGCCCACAGGCUUGGCCCAUCUACCACAAAAAACACCAAUAAGGGUCAUCUGUCAUGGGGUGUUUAGUUGUUGAACUUGGGUUGACUGUACAAUUUAGUCCUUGAUAUCUGAAAACACCAAUAAGGGUCAUCAGACUUUAAAAUAUGGUGCAAUAUGAUCCUAUAGCGAAGGCAUAUGUAUUUUGGUGAUGCGGCACGUAUCUGAUUCUGACCUAUGGAACCCAUUAGAUAUGAUCGAAAGUUUUCACUAAAUGGAGAUUUUCACCUGAUACGUUUCCAUAAUAAAAAAAAGAGGUAAUAACGAUGACGGUGCAUGAACUUAGCACGCAUGUGCAAACUGGUGCAUCAAGUGAAAAAUUGGUUUGUUCGAGUGAUCAAACUUGGUACAUGAGUGCAUUUUGGUUCAAAAGGGUCAAACAGGGCCAGACCAAGGCCACGUGGCGUGCCACAUAGGCAAAGAGCACAUGCUAGGCACACGGGAUGUUCGCUCGGGAGGGUAAGUUUGCAUUUAGGCCCUGCUAUUUUUUAUCUGUGCAUAACAAAGUCCUUGCGCCUUCAUGUGUGUUGGUGUACGGGGACGGCGAGGGAGGGAGGUCGUCGCCGCGGCUACCGGAUCACAAAUCCGAAGAAGUAGCAGAAAUUGAUGAAGAAAAAAAGAGAUCUUACAUCGUGGUUGUUGCACUUGACGAAAUCACGCAUUUUCUUUACUGGCGUUCCAGACGUGUACCUCUCCACCACGUGGAACCGGCAGCUAGUGCACUCGAUCAGUGGCAGGGGUCCGUACUUCCAGUGGCGUAUGGAGCUGCACGUGCUCGAAGAUGCCAUAGCGAUGGACGUCGGCCGGCGAGAUCGAUGGUGCGAGAGGGAUUGAGAAUUUGGGAGAGGGCCGACGGAUGGAGAUUCUGUUCAAGUGAUUUCGGUUCAUUUCUCCUCCCUACCUUUCAAUCAAAGCGAUAUGGACUAGAUGUACCAAUUCCACAAAAGGCUUAAACGAAAAAACCCGUGCGCCUGACGUGUGCUUUUUGGCUACUUGGCAUGCCACGUGGCCUUGGUCCGGCCCGGUUUGACUAUUUUGAACCAAAAUGCAAUCGCGUGCCAAGUUUAAGCACCCGAACGGACCAUUUUCCACUUGAUGCACCAGUUUGCACAUGCGUGCCAAGUUCAUGCACCUCCAGCGUUAUUACCUAAAAAAAAAUAUAUGCUCAAUAGGGUAGAUCUUGUGUUUUAGUUUGAUCACUAUGGAUAAAAUAUACUCCUGCGCAGAACUGAGCUACUACAAUAUUGGUCUUGUUUCAAGGAGCUGAGGGUGUACACGAAGGUUCAGAUAAUAGUGAAAUGGAUACAGUAUUUGAAAGAUACAGCUAGCGGUUUGUAUUGUCAGAACCAAAUUCAAGACAAAUGACUUGGUCACGUAACAGUGCUGUGCUCUCCUAAAAAUGAUAUUCCUCUGUCCAACAAAAGAUGUCUCAAUUUUGAUUAAAUUUGAAUGCAUCUAUACACUAAUUCAUGUUUAGAUACAUGCAAAUUUUGACAAACUUGAAACAUUUUUUGUUGGACGGAGCGAGUACAUUCAUUUGUUGUGUUCCUUUUGUUCGUAGUGACUGGCAGAAAUUGGGACUGGGAUUAGCAAUGUGAUAUGGUACGGACGGACCUGGAUCCCUCUCCCGGACGCUGCCCAAACAUGCUGCUGGGACAAGCAGCCGUGGCCCGUGGGAGUUCACGGUGAAGCUUAAUAGCUUUAAAACAACAAAUAGUAAACCUCCUGAAGGCCAGAAAACCAGUCAAGAAAACCAGGCCCAAACCUGUUGCUCAAGCCCAACGGCCAGAAGGUCAGAAAACCAGUAAUUUUUUUGUUAAAACAGGCUCAAUUUCCACUCAUUAUUUAACAGAAGAGCACCACGAUGCACAAUGUUGAUCUGAAGUUUAUUUGAGAUCUAGAUCUACAAUGAUAUAUUACAAUGAACCAAACAAAUAGCAGCCUAUGCUCUUUUAGCUUAUUCCUUUUCUGAAUCGGCUUGCCUGCCUGAUAUGUCACCAAUAACCUCUAGUUCCCCUUUGUGCUUUGCUUCUCAAAAUAUUUUCUAGUUACCCUUGGAGCUCUCCUUCUCAAACUCUUCCACAUAUCUAGCGAAGUUUUGGAUGAUUCUCUUGCCUUCAGGGGUGAUGAUACUCUCUGGGUGGAAUUGAACCCCCUGAAAUAGUUACCUUUUGCAAUUAGCAUCCGCAAGAACUCCCUUUAAACACCUCAGGUAUAACCUGUGCCUAAUUUAACAUAUAGAGGAGUUGAGAAAUACCUGGAUAUGCUUGUACUUCUUGUGGCGAGCAGCCAUGACAAGUCCAUCUUCAGUCCAUGCCGUGAUUUCCAGGGCGUCAUGUGGAAAGCUUUCCUUCUCAAUGACCAAACUAUGGUAUCUUGCAGCAGUAAAAGGGCUGUUCAAGGAAGCGAUGAUUAUGUCAAAUCAAAAGCCCACUAUGGAGAAGUGCGACAAAGUGAAUUGUAUCAACAACUGAAUAUUAUAAACAAAACCAUAAUUUUUGACAUCUCAAGUAAGGAAAAAGUACAAGCUCUCAAAUAUGAUUGUUUGACUUAGCAAUUUCAUGGCACGUGUUACAGAAUUCCUCAUAAAAAUUAAAUGCUUUAAAGAGGUGAACAGAGCCCAGCAGCUUCCUAUGUACUCCCUCCGAUCCAUAUUAAUUAUCGAAAAUAUUACAUGUAUCUAGACGCCUGUUAGGCAUAGAUACAUCCAUAUUUGGGCAAAUUUGAGACAAUUAAUAUGGAUCGGAGGGAGUAUAAAAAAAAGUAAUCACGAGAUGUGCGCAGUAAUUGUUUGCAACAUCAGUAUCAGUUGCAUGAAACCAAAAUGAUGCAUGGUUGACUAAAAGGUUGAGAAAUCAUACUUUGCCAAUCCAUCAAAUAUGGCCUUUCCUAAUUCUUCGUCAUAGUAAACUGGGGAGCUUUUUCCAUGCAUCACACCAGAAGGAACGCGGACAAUCUUCCCUGUAUAUUCAAAUACAUGCAUACUUUCAGUAUGACAAAAGCAGAGGUGAUGGGAAACCUUGUCUCCGUAAUGAUAAAGAAAUCUAACCUCCAAAAGCCUCUCCCAUGCACUGCAGACCCAUGCAAACUCCAAAAAUCGGGAUGGUUGGCCCGAGUUCCAGAACAGUCUGCAAUGAUAUACCUGAAUCUUGUGGUUCACCUACAGAAAAUAAUAAUAUAAUUGUUAUGCUCGGAAACUUGUACUGAUACAAGGUUCGAUAAGAGAUACCUACCAGGUCCUGGAGAAAUAAGUAUUCCUCUUGGGUUCAUCCUACAGUAGAUAAAAACAACAUCGUCAGCAAAGUAAUAAUUUAAUACAGCCCUUUUUGGAAAGGAACUACAUCAAAAUAGUACAUUUGCUCAGAGAAGUAUACCUCUUUACAUCCUCCACGGUAAGUUCGUCAUUACGGUACACCUCAAAAUUUAAUCCAAGCUCCCCCAUAUACUGCAUCAAAAACUCAAUGUCAGCAAGACAUGUUUACCCAUAGCAUGUCAUAUUGAAAUAAACUGCGGCAAGUUUUUUGAUAAUCAAUGGGGGCUAGUCUUCAACAUUUAAUUGCUUCAGAGAAAGGGUGCCUUUUGAAAUGGAAAUUUCGUUGUUUUUAGGAUAGAUUUCAUAUGAUUCCUUGCUACUUUGUUUGUCAGUAAGUUACCAUUACUUUUGAAGACUUCAGAGAACAGGUAAGCAAAUUCACAGCAUAUUUAGCAGAUUCAUAUUGCCAACUGCCAAACUUAAGAAGGUUCUUAUAUGUUAUCAUAUGAUCAUGGAAUACGGAAAAUGCAUCUUUGCAGGCACUUACUCCAUCAUUUGAUUUUAGUACAAACACAACCAAAGAACUAAUCUUAGUCUACCAUCAAGUUUAUCAGGAUUUGUUUUCUGAAACACACACCCAGAUGUGUGCCAUUCUGUGUUAGAAGGAAUUUUCUUACAACUAAUCCACAAACAAACAAAGAAAUAAGAAAUCGAACAAAAAACAGGCAACUGGCAAAAAGAAGUUCACAAAUUGACAAGCAUGUUGCUUCUCAAGAGAGAAACAACAGCCUGGUCAUUGUUCCUGCCAUGUGAUUUUUAAGAUGACGUGUUAUCAGGAAUUCAUAGUAGCAGAAAAUAGAAAUUACUUCAAUCACUAUGAGAGCACUUCUUUUCUUAAAGAACAUUAUGAACAAACACCAAAAGGUUCAGAAAUCAAGAUAAAUUCUUUUGGGUCCGACACGGCAAAGUCAGAUGAGAAAUUGCAGUUGCGCAAAUCUCAAAGUCGAUCGGACAGCUCACAUAUAAAUCUGAAUCCUUAAAAAACAUUGCAUCUUAGGAAGGUAAUUUGGAAUUCCCAAGAAAGAGGGUGGAUUUUACAGUCAAUCAUCUUAGACUUGAGAUUGAAAAAUAAAAGAUUAGAGCAGGGCUAUCCUAUCAGGAUCUAAGGAAACUAAGAAAAUCUCGGUUGAACGUGCAAUGGACGCUCCAUAAACAGAAUACCGUACAAGAAAAAUGGGAGGAAAAAGAAUCUAUGAAACACUGCAAGACAAUCUCAGGCUCUCAGCGGUCGGCCAGUAAACAGGUCGUCAGCAAUCCUCUACGGUGAUAAAAUAUCGCACACAGACAUCAUCUCACCAGCAAUUCGAGAGGGAGAAGCCCACAAAUAACAUGUGAAACCGUAUACCUGGCACAAGUUGUAGGUAAAGCUGUCGUAGUUAUCAAUGACGAUGAUGGGCCGCUUCACCGUGGCCGGGCGUCCGUCCAGGUCAGACACCGGCGCCGCCGCAGCCGGUCCGGCGGCCACGACCACCGACGCCGCCGCCCUCCUGCUACUGAUGACCAAUCCACCGCUCCCAGGACCUGCGAGGGGAAAGGUCCAAUCGAUCUAAGAUGCGCUCGAUAGGGAAGGGGAUGGUAAAACCAGAAAGAGCGAUUCGUACGGAGGGUCGCCGGGAUGCGCGCGAAGGAAACCGUGGGGGAUGUCGCCCGGGAACGCAACGCGGAGGCGGUGGCCGCCGGUGAAGAGGCGGCGGCGAGUUGGGAGCAGGCCAUACCGGCGACGGCGAGGAGGAGGCGGGCGGCUUGCGGGUUUUGUUUUGUCGGAAGUAACGGGGAAGAAGAGUGAGGUGCUGCCUGGGGUUAUAUAGAAGCCAGGGAAGAUUUUGGGUUGGGUUUGGACGAAAUUUCUACCUACCCCGCUUAUUUUUUGCAUUUGCAUAAAUGAACUGUUUUUUUGUUUAAAAACACUAGCAUGUAGUAUAAAACACUUGGCUGUUUGAAUUGAAGACGGAAGACCAUCAUAUAUGGGUUGACAAGACAUGUGAAGGAUUGUAUGGGUCCUUGCCAGCAAGUUCCACCAAAUUGUAGUUCAGGUUUAUACCUCUAAAAUAUAUUUUUCAUCGGUGUAACAAUGAUGUUUGCUUAGUUAUACAAAUUCAAGUCACUUAUUUUGAGAUGGAGGGAGCACAUCAAUAAACCUUUUCUACUGAAAUACUAAGGCAAACUCGUUGAGCAGUUGUGUUGUCCACGGUAAUAGUAUUACCUCUUUUUCCGUAUACAGGGAUAACAUGAUUUUAUAUCACACCAGUUAUAUCAUUAUAAAUUUCAAAUGUUCUAUUUCCUAAUGAUAUAACUUUGCGAUAUAAGAUUUAUAUUAUAUUGAUCGAAUUAGCAAUCUAGAGAUACGCGUAGGCCAUGUAUACCGGAAAGAAGGUAGCAGUAUUUAAGCAUCAUAUAUGAUAGGCAUUGAUUUCAAUGCUAUUUUUACGAAUAGUUAUCCAAAUCAUUGUUCCGUAAGAAAGGAAAGUGGCAGACGAUGGAACUAUUGCGUUUUCUUUUUUUUGUUGUAGCCAUGUCUUAAAAUUCAAAAGUUUCAGUUUGCUUUGGAAAUAAGUAAGACUGAUUAUGGUUCCUAAUAUGGAACUAACCAAUUUGCAUGAAAGAGAUAUGUGACAAUGCAUAUUGCAUUAAUAUGUUCCAAAACACCCCAUGCAAGCGCUUCUGUGUUCACGCAUCACGUGUUUUUUGUAGUCGAAGAAGAUACCUCCCGAAAAAGCAGCCUUACGAACAACACCAUACUUAUUACCACAUUUAGCGAGUUGGACGGCCAUUAUCGAAUUUGGGUACCAAAGUGUGUCAACCACAUAAUUAAGUUGAAUGACGGUGGAUAAAUUCUGCCCAAUUAUUUUUUCACUCAAAUUUAAGACAAAUAUUUGUCUCGAUUCAUUAAUUAAGAGAUAGUAUGACCAUGCCAAAUACCGACUACCCGUUUGCCCAAUCGGCACAAAGUUUAAUCUUUGCUACGAUAGCCGAUGGAAAAGACAAGUGACCUCUCGCCUUCCUCCCGCUUCUUCUUUCUGUUUCUUUUCUCUUUUACGAUUUAGGAGGAGGCUGAACCGAUAAGUCACUUGUGGGAUUGAGAUCGAAUUCUCCCCAAUACGGAGCGAGGUGGCUCCAAAUUGGCUUACGAAGUGGGACAUCUCCCCUAUACCGUUUGGUAUUGAGAGUGAAUUCUACAGGCAAAUUCUGUAACCACCCAAACGCUGGAAUUGAAAGAUGUUCGAUUCCAGUUCCCAACUCCACGUGUGAAUACAUACAUCCCACAUUCCAGUUCUCAAUUCCAGGUCUUGAAUGACUACUCAUUUUGUUUCACCGACGCUCCUCCACUGGUUUUCGCCUAGGAAUCUAGGAUAAACAUACAAAAUGGUACCGCUGCACUGAAUUUCUCUAUGAAAUCUAGAGGAUUUUAUCCCACCCAUCGUCCUGAUUGACGCAUCGGCGAAAUCGGUUCAUCCGAAAAAGAAAAGGGCUUGCUUAGAACAUGACAACGGAACAAAAAAAGCCAAAACGUACUACGAGAUCCAGCACGGAACAUUUCGCCCGUUCAAAAAGUCGUGUGGUAGCCUGGUAAACGUGGUCAGACGCUCACUCGUGCCCGGCGCCUGUAUUUUAGCCACUCCGCCACGAGGAAAAGCCGUUUCUCGUGAACCUCUUGGAAGAACCCUCGUAGCCGCGCGCGCUGGAAUCAAAAGGAUUCCCCCCACUGGUGCCGGCUUCCUAGCGACCAGCGACCAGUAAACAGAAGCUGCAGGUCUCAGAGGUCUCCAUCGGGAUGGGAGACGCCGGUCUUGCUCCUCCACCGUGCAAGGGGGAAGUAGGUGGGGAGGCGGCUACGGGCUACGGCUGGCUCCGUCGUGUCUUGUCGUCCAAUUUUUGGAAAUUCCCGGUCCAGGUAGAUCGGUGUUUUGGCUUCAAUUUUUUAUUUUUCACGGCGAGCGAGCGGAUUGAUCAGCUGUUUCAUCGAUCACCAGCCGGCGGUGCCGAGCUCAGUAUAUGUGCAUGCAGCUGCUAAGCAAAAAACACGAUAAAAAUGGAUUUAUCUCCACAUCAGGGCCGGCCCAGCCGUAGAAAGGUAAUAAUAGCAUUUAUUCCUACCUACGGGGAAGAUAGAUGCCACGAUCAAAACGUAGCAACGCGUUGUGCGUGUGCUCCGUUUUAUAAUCGCUUGAGUUACAUGUGGGGCCGGAAAAUCUCUUGCCCCCCACCCCCACACUACUCGCCAGAAAUUAUAAUGAGUCCAUCGAAGUCUCGUUACAAAAGAAAUCGGAUGUCUCAGUCGCACACUCGCACAAAAACAGUCACUGUAUCUUUCAUGUUCACUGCCCAAUAAUCACUGACGAUGAGCCACCAGCUACAGCGCAUCCAUGCAAACGCAAAGUUCUGAAACGGAGAGGUCAUGGCUCAGUUGAACGCAAAAGCAUUUUACGGCGACGGCGACCAAUGUCUUACUUGGUUGGAAGUACUCGCUCCGUUUCAUAAUUCUUGUCGAAAUAUUAUAUGUAUCUAAACGUUUUUUAGGAAUAGAUACAUCCAUUUUUUAGUAAAUUUGAGACAAGAAUUAUGAAAGGGAGGUAGUAAUUAAUACCAAUAUGUCGGGCUGCACUUUUACCCGGUCCUAGGCAAAUGCGGCUACAUCAAGCUGAUUGGGACCCCGAGACGGCCGGGAGUAACAAGUAACGUACACUGGCGAUUUGGAUAGCCGGAGAAAACGAUCUCGCCCUGAAUGUUACAGAGCCGCGGACGAAAGCUCUUCGAAUGCCUCUUAGUUGUUUUUCUUUGCUUUGCUCAGUUGCUGAUGCACGAGCACAGACAAAGAUUGUUUCAAAUUAUGACGACCCGAGAUCGCCUGUUUCACCUGUGUCUGUGUGUCACGUUUGUUUGAAGGCGCCCGAUGGAAAUUUCUCGGUUUCUUGCUUUGUUGCAAGAGUCAGCCAUAAUAAGGUGCCCAAAAUUCAUUCUUCUCAAGAUUUCUUCCACCAACCAUAAUAAGUCAGCCGCUAGGUGUAAUGUCAUUAAAUUACACAAAAACCACCAUAUGCAGCGUUUCGUUCUACAACCAAUGAACCAAGGUACUACGACCUCUUUUUCGUAAAACAAAAUAAUUGCAAUUAGCGAAUAAUUGGUCAAAGUGUUGUCUUUAAAAUUAAUCUACUAUGGAAUAUCAAUUUUUUAGAACUUUUCAUGAAGCAUCGGUCAACAGGCAUGUCGAUGUAAAUAACGUUGAUCCCUGUCUCAACGCGUUUUAACUGGUGGGACCCCUAGGGUGAUCUGUCACAAUUUUAGACAGCUUACACCUAAUUACUAGCUGUGGAUUCUUUUUUUAUAAACCACUGGCCCAAAGAUAGUUCAAUGCAAAUACCACUAAUAAUUGUAUGAUCUAACCCUUGAUUGGUGAAGUGAUGUGCAGUCUCACCAUUAGAGAAUUACUACAACAGAAGAGUAAAACAAACACGAUUUUGUUUCAAGAUAUAUAAAAACCGAUUAACAGGCAUUCUUCAUAUUAUCCUCAAAAACAUAACAUGGUGAGGUAUAUAUUGUGCUAACACAAUCCGAUCUAGAAGAUGGUAAUUCAUCAAUAAGUGAAUAUAGAUAAAACAUCAUGCAAAUUGUCACCGAGAAACCAUCACUGGCCUUAAACUCAUGGAUCGCACGACAACACAAAAGAUGAGAUAGCGGUGGUGUAAGUGUUGCUGAUUAUAAUGAAGAUGAUAGUGAUGAUGCCUGUCUUUUUUUGCGGGAAAUGCUCAAUGUCAAUGGAUUCGAAGAUGCCAACAGAAACAACUGCGGGGUGAUUCGUAGCCGAGAAGAUAUCAGUGCUCCCAGAUCUUAGGGUGCUACAGUGCUCCCAACGCACGACAGCACCCCUAAAAAGUUCUUAAAAAUUUCGAAAUAAAUUGAGUGGGUUAAUAUAUGUGUCUACCAUAUCACAAAGUUUCAACUCCAAAUUCAUUAUACACAGAGAAAAACAAAAAAGAUAAAUGCAAACAUGAAUAGUGUCAGAAAUUUUGUCUUUUGCGUUUUUGUCUUUUUCCGACCUAUUCACAUUUGAAUUUGUCUUCUUUGUUCCUCUAUGCAUAUAAUGAAUUUGGAUUUGGAACUUUGUGACAUGCUAGACAAAGCAAGAAAACUUUGUGACAUGAACCUACUCAAUUUAUUUCAAAUUUUUUGAAAACUUUUUAGGGGUGCAACCGUGCGUUGGGAGCACGGUAGCACACUAAGGGAUAGGAGCACAGGAUAUUUUCUCAUUCGUAGCCUUCUCCCGGGAGAGAAGAGAGUUGGAUGUGUUUGGAUGAUCACCAAAGUCUACGGGGCUGUUUGGUUUUGUACCUGCGCACACCAAGCCAACUUUGGUGCGUCCAAGACCCCACGGGCUGCUGUUUGGUCCAGUGUCGGCAAAUUGGCUCACCAACGCGGCGCCCGCAAAAAAUCACCCUCAUUUUUGUGCCCACGCGCGGCCUCUGUCAAAUCCUGGGUGGGCCAAGUUUUAGCGUGGUGGGCUGGGACAAAAAUCAAACAAGUCCUACCUUACCAAUAUUUUGGCCAAAUUUUGGUGUUAUUUGGAUGGUGCCUAAUUUUUUUGGCAAACCAAAUGUGUCCUUACGGAUCCUAGUUUUUUUUUUUUUUUGCCAACUUUGACCAACUCAAGGACAAAGAAAACAUUCACCAAAAUUUUGGCUAGCAAAAUAUUUGGCACGGCAAGUGGGGGACUUGGGGUUAAACCAAACAAACCUUCUCCUUCCAUUUUUGUCCUAAACGGUCGCAGCAGAGCCCGGAGUACCCGGCCUGAUCCCGGUAUCCAUAGUUUUAGGCGAUAGGAGACACCUUUCCCUCAACCCAACCCAGAUACCCAAACAAUAGAUCGCACAUGCUGAACCAAACAUUUUCCGUUCCCAGCCCCACGGAACCCCACCAGAGUGACCAGACUCAGCUAGUCUAUCGAGGAAGGGGAAAAAUAUCCUCUUCCCGAGCGACGACGCCGCCCCUUCUGCCCUCGUCGCCAAACCCGCCGUAGACCUCCACCGAAGCGCGCUUGCCAAGCGACGAGCUCUUCCUUCCUGGCAGGCGUUGCCCUCCCUUUUACUGGAUCGACCUACAGUAAAGCUCCGCCCGACGCGAUUCCUCUGUAAGAAACCCUAGCUGGAUCGCUGUUCGUUUUUUCUCCGGUAAUUUCUUUCCUGUGAACGAUCGAACCGACUAGAUCUUCUUCUUCAAGAUCGAUUCAGUAGACCGCAUUCCGCCGAUAGGAUUACCCAAGGUGCGGGUGCAUCCGCAUGUAUUUUGGUGGCUGUUACCGUGAAAUUGAACCAUGACAAAGUACUCCAGCAGUUUGUUUUCCACCCUGUUUUGGUUGCUCGUCGUCUGUGGAUAGUAGCAGCGGUAGCAACUAGCAAGAAGUCUAUGACUAUGUAUGUUGCUGAGAUCUCAUAUUCCUGUCUCUGAAGCCAAUACUAUUUUGGCAAAGAACAUAUACUUUCUCUUUCUGCUUUGACAUUUUGAGUUAUUGUUUAAGUACUGUAUGCCUAUUCAGUUUUCUUUAUGUUAACCUACUGUUCAGCUCACAAAUCACUACACUAGUGAUUAGUUUCUACUUGAUUUCUCGGUGGUUUACUGCGUCAUCUGAGCAAUAUUCUGGAUGCUUUGUAGCUUGCCCCAAGGUUAAAUGGCAAACAGAGCAAGGUGGGUGAUGAAGUAUGAAAAAGGGCUUGUUGAUAUACUGCAUGAGAACAAUGUUUCACACUACCGGACUCCAAAUGGAUGGAAAAGUGAGGGAUGGAGGAAAAUUGUGAAGGACUUCAAUGAUAGGCACCCAGAUGCAGGAUUUAGUAAAGUUCAAAUUCAGGAACAUGAGACCCAACUGAAGAAAGACUAUAAAUUGAUAAAAUCCAUUCUCCAGCGUGAUGGUGUUUCAUGGGACCAAAAUGCAUCUAUGAUUAGAACAACAGAUGAAAUCUGGGAUGAGAUAAUCGAUGUGAGAUAUUAACUCCUACUAUAGUAGUAGUAGUUAUUUAUGAAGCUGAGUGAAUUUUAAUUGUUCAUUUAUCUUUUGUAGGAAGCACCCAAGGCAAGGAAGUACCAAAGCAAGAGUUUUCCAUUGCUUCAGUCGCUGGAACUAUUAUUUGAAAGUAAAUUUCUUCCCUGUCUAGUUGGUCCAGAAGCAUUGUUGGAGGGAAACACAGCUUAACCAAUCUGCUAUCAUGACAGGGGAUAUUCCUGAAGGGGAUCGCAAUUUAACUUCCAGCGUACCUCAGCAUGUUCUUGGAAAUGUUGAUGAGGAAGGCAACAUCAACACACUUCCAAGCUUGUCUGGAAGACCAUGUGGAUUGGUUAUUGGAAGUAUUGAUGAGGAAGAGAACAAUAUCAGUACAUUUCAAAGAACUCUGGAACUAGGACCGCAAGGUCUGGAUGAUCUUGAUCUCCUGCAAAAUCACACCGAGGAGAUCUUGGAAAGACAACAGCCUGGUUCGGCUCCAAAGCCACAAAGAGUUGACGAACCCGCGCAUUCGAGUUCCUGCAUUGAACCACAAAAGGACAAGCGCAAGAAGCGCAAGGCCCCUGACAUCCAACAAACCAUGGAGGCUUAUCUAGACUUCAGAAUGAAACAAGCUCGGACAAAGGAGCAAACCAAAAAGGAUGGGGAACAAUUCUCUAUUUCAAGGUGUAUCAAGGCUCUACAUGCUAUAACUGACGUCUCUGAUCAGAUCAGGAUUCUAGCUGCUGAUGUUUUCAAGGAUGCGUCGAACCGCGAGAUCUUCCUCUCCUAUGAGCCCAGGCUUCGCGCUCUGUGGUUGAAGAGGGAAGUCAACAGGUUACUCUAUUAAUCAGAUCUCAUACAUCAAGGUUUAGUUUUGUCUCCAGAUGAAUGUAAAAAGAAUUAGUCCCCUGCAGUUCUGUGUAGGUUGUAGCAACAUUUGUCUUAGUUCAGAGUGAACUAUUGAUUCUAGGUUCCAAGGCCAAGGUCUACAAAUGUUUCUCAGUCGUGAUCAGUAGCGGCAUAUAGCGUGUUGAUGUUUACUGUUUGAUCUUCUCUGGCGUCAUUGCUUUGACUAACCACUUUGUGCCCAAAAGAUAAAUGGUUUCACUUUAGACUGCCCUUUGAAUUGUGGCGAGAACAACUUGAUCCGCAUUGAUUUGUUGUAAAACAUCAUGCAGCCUUCAUUGAUAUUUAUGAAAUUAUUGCCUCGCUUUUCACAACUUUCACAACACCUAUACGGCCUUGCUUUUCACAACUUUCACAACACCUAUACGGCCUUGCUUUUCACAACUUUCACAGCACUUAGGGCAUUUUCAACAAGUCAUUACUAAGGCGGAUACUUAGAUGAGAAAGAAUAACAAAACUCAAAGAUAGUAACAACCUCUCCAACAAUUGGUUUCUUCACAUUGUUACUAAGACUCAAAAGAUAUCUAUUGUUUGUUUCUUCACAUUGUUACUAAGACUCAAAAGAUAUCUAUUGUUUAUUAUGGUUGGUCCCAUCAAAACAUGAUGCUAAGUAACAACUCAUUCUUCAAUGAUGAUUUAGUGGUUACUUAGACAUUGGUUUUCGUGUAGUACCAGUUUCUCUGGGGAGAAACCAUCUCUUUCUCUUUGCUCUUCUUUUUUCAUCCACAUCAUCAAAAAACUGUCAUGUUAUAUUUUAGUAACGACUGACUCACCUUGUCGGAGAUGCCCUUACAUACGUGCAACAAUCGUCUAGCCGUAAGCAUUAUAUGGAACUUUAGUCGAGUGAAUUCAGAUGGUGCAAAGCAGCAAUAUUCCCAAACAAGGGAGUCAAGCAGUUCUGCCCUUGAUUCAGUAACCAGUGACAAGCACGCUCAGUUUCAACAGUCAGCUACUGCAGCUGCGAUCAUAACAGAAAACGAACGAUCGGAAUCAAGAGCGUGGCGCACAGGGCAGCAAAAGAACUCCGCCAGUUGCCGUAGAUAUGUUACCAAAAUAUCAGAAUGGUGAUUCGGAGGCGCACGCUUCCAAAUGCUCUUGCAACUAGGCAAAUAUCAGUCACACAACAUGAAAAUAUUUCAGCGUUCUGUAAGAGUUCAAGCAUGUGCGCAAACUAAUAGUGUAUAUUAACAAAAUUGUAGGAGCUGAGAUUUCGGCAAGCAUCAUUCCAUGUUUUCAUGUGCAGAAUCCUCCUUAUAAAGUGUUACCUUGAGAAGUGCGGCAUACGCAUUCCAUGAACUUAAUGCAAUCUACAAAAGCCUUGUAACAUAUCAGGAGGCUACAAAGUGCAAGGCAACUCCCACAACAAACAUUCUAACAAAAGCUUAGUUAUUCUACAAUCAGGAAUGCAGAUUGUCUAACCAGCUCAAUUCCUGAAGACGUUGCAAGACACAAGAUAGUACAAAAUAUCAAAAUUCAAUGGUUCAACAGGUAAUGGAGCUCACAUCCAUGACAGGUCCCAUACUCCCAUGGUAAUGUACCUUCGACGAGUAACCCAAGCAGAGCCCAUGCUAGAUUUUUGGUAAUGUGCCAUGCGCAACAACAGGAGCAAAGUUUUCUGGGACAUUGUAGUCCCAAGCUUGAAGCUUUAGACAAUCCUCACCAAAUAAUAGGCUAGGUCAGAGUUAGUUCAUAUCUCAGCACCACAAAUAUCAACCUCUAGACAAAACUGCUUUCUAUGAUGCUUCAAAAUUGUACUUGCUAGGGCAGGGCAUACUCAGAAAUCCAAGGAUUUUUAAACUAUCCAAUUCAAUAGCAUAUGGGUUAUCAUAUGCUCAACAUAAAGUCUUUCUCAAAUAUAGUUACUAAUUUAGUUCACGGACCAUUUUGAUAAACAUUGGGAACAAAGUUGAUACUCAAUAACCAUGCCAGAGAAACCCAAACCUCCCGUGCAUUCAAAGAAAUUUUAGACAAGUCAAGACAUGACUAGAAUAGUAUGACAUGACAUGGCUUUUAUUGUAAGAUCCAAUGUGACAAGUGAACAUCGUGUAAGUUUGUAACCAACACCGUAUUAAGUUUAAUGCUAAGUCAUAUUUCAGUUUACAUUAUUUACAUCAGACUUGUCAGGCUGACUUAAAACAUACUAGUAUGAAGUUUAAACUAAAAUCAGGGAACCAGGUAGAAAGACAGCACGCCACACAUACUACCACUACAACAGAAAAUCAUUUCCUUGUCAAGAAAGACCACUCUCGCAGACUAUUGAUGAAACAGAACCUGAAAAGAUCAUAUAGUGAACAUAUAUGAAAAACCAAAAUAUUGAUGAUGAAAGGAGACAGGACUACAGGAGUGCUACUAAGACACAGAUUGCAUUUGGUCAGCUAAGUAUACUUGUAGGUCAAACAUCAACACUGUAUGUAGACUUUCAAAGGUUAGAUAGAACAUAGAAGAGUUUAAUGUAGGAGAUCGUUCAGUUACCUUAGAAGAGCAGUCACAAGAUUGUAUCACACAAGUGAAAAGUGCAAGAGCUCGACCUCCAGUUUAAACAUCAAGCAAACACGAGUUAACUAGUCAUGAUGUAGUUGAUAAGAAAAUAACAGUCACCGUAUAUAGCUAUUAUAUAUGAUCUCAAGAACUGCAAACAACAAAAGGUCCUCACCAGCAACAUAUGCAUCAGAUACAAUGCAAACAGUCCAAAGAAAAAAAAAGAUACCAAGUUUCCAGAGGCUCUAUAUGGAUUCAGCAUCUAUUCCAAUAUUCACAUUUCUUUAUACCAAAAGCAGACGAUACGCAACAAAACUAGCAUAUCCGGCAGGGCAGUAACAUCCAAAGGAACAGAACUACGGCAUAGAGCUAUUAUAACCAUCACACAGACUAGUAUCUUGGACCCAUGCUACAAGAACGGGAUAGACGCAAUGGCACUCCAUUUGCCAUCUCUCGUCCGAUUCCAACUGCUGGUGCUUUGACUCCUCCUGCAGGCACUGCAUUGUAUUGCUUCCUGCACCCUGGGCAGCGUUCAUCAGCCUCAAGUAUCCUCUUGUGGCAGAAGAGGCACAGGUGAAACCCACAAGGGCAGGGGAGGAAGCUUGAGUCCGUCGGAUCAAGAUCCUCAUAGCAUAUUGGACAAGACAAUGGCAAAGAGAGGACGCUCUGCUGUGCUGCACCCAUCCCCACCCAGCAGUUGCCGAUGUUUGCUGGGAAGCUUGCCUGCUUUGAGAUACUGGGCAGGCUCUGUGGACGGAACAUAUCAUCAGGUGUCCAAGCUCUUGUGUUGCUACAAAUCGGAUCUUUUCUUUUUGCUGCAUUAGCAGAAGGCGUGGAGUCACUUGUGGCUGCUGGGACCACUAUGGCACCUGAACACUGGUGGCGAUGACUGUUAUCAUCGACCGAAAGUGCAUCAGCAACAGCUUCCCAAUCAUCUAACACCCCAUUCUCCUCCUCAGGGCCACUGCCUGUGUCGUCAUCCUCAGCGUCACUCACACUUCUGGAACUAGACCAUAGACUGCUGACACUGCUGAGGCUGGGACCACCACCAUUGCUGGAGCAGCGGUUCCUCUGAGUGCAGCCACCACCCCUGGAGUUGUCCGAGCCAGGACUGUGCAUGGGGGAGUCAAGGUCGCUGCUGCCUACUUCUUGCACGGUAGCACCAGCCUCCUCCGGAGCGCCACCUCUUGACCUUGUAUCCACACGCCGACGGGGAAGUGGAGGGUGUGGCGAAGCUAGGAUUGGAGACCCAGCAUUCGAUCCUCCGCCUGCUGGCGAAGCGGCAGCCUUGGUCUCCUUCCCAUCCUUGACUAGACCAAUCCAAAACGCAAAAGGAUCAGAAUGUGAACACAAUUUUAAUUAAAACACCAAGUCAACACCUAGAUCAACCCCAAACGCAGUAUAGAACAAGAUCAUCCGCUUUUCUAAGCAGUUCCACAUAGGUACUCUACCUCAUCAACCGGCCACCCAAAAGAUGGGACGAACUACGAUCCACCGUGCCAGGAUCCCAACUUCCGCAUACGCACCACCCAAUCCCCACCAAACCCCGAUGAGGAACACCGAAAAACAACAGGUAAAAAAAAAUUAUAUCAGACCAGGAACACGAGAUCAGACCUUGCGACAGCCACUGCUCGCGGCGCGCGUCGAGCUUGCACUGCUUCAGCUUCGCCGACGAUUUCCCCUGCGGAACACAAAAACCCCUCAGAUCAGAUCACCGCCGCGACAGAUUCCGGACCCCCAACCCCCAAAUCAAAAAUCGCAGAUCAGAACCCGGCGAAACGAAAUCCCAAACUCUUACCCUCUUCUUCUUGGCAUCGCGCGCGGCGGCCGAUGCGUGCGAGUGGGCGUCGUCGUAUCCCAUCUAGGCGAAGACCACGCAGUACCAGUUUGCCUCCUCGGCGGCGUGCGCAGGAGCGUUCGUGAAAAACCCUAAAAAGCGGCGAGGAGGAGAGAGGAGGCGGCGGUGCGAAGCGGGGGAUGGGUGGAUGCGUGGGACGGGGGGGCGAUAGAUAACACAGCGCACGAGCGAGGGCGGAGUUAUUGGGGAGGAAGCAAAAUCUUUUCGGAGCUUUUGGCGUUUCCGUUUCUUCUCGCUUUGCGUUUAUUAUUAAAUCCCGGGCCGGACAGGUCGCAGGUGGCGACGAGAAUGACGAUCCUGCCCUCGGGGUAGGGACGGUUGGGAGCUGGGGUCGGCGCACGGGAGGAGAGAUCUCGGCCGUCAGGUUGAUACGGUUGGGUGCCGACGUGGUGGGGCUAAAGCGGAACGGAACGGAACGGGAGUAUGCUUUUUUUUUAGUUUUCUCUUUCUGCGGAGACGAGCGUUGUGCUGGGAGUGCGUUCUAUCUCUGGUGUAGCAGUACCACGUUCGCUUCGAUUGCGACCGUCCGAAUAUUUGAGUCCAUCAGUUUCAAGAUGCCCGGGCUUCUGCUACAAGCCUACAACCAGGAAAAGGAUAUUUUUAGAAGGGCUUGGUAAACUGCAGAACUGGAAGGUUCUAGGGCAUGCUGGAUGCUUGGCUCUAGCUUAUUUGAGUUUGUCGAACAACAGCUCGAUGAGAAAUGCGUUGUAACAGAAGUUUGGCAUCGAUGACCUACAUGAAGCCAAAUCUAGUACAAGUAACAAUUGCUUUGUAAGGCAAAUUGGAUUCUCUUACGUAACAGAGAAAAAUGUAGGGAUUCAUCCAAAAAAAAUAUUAAUGCAGUGUCCCAGACGGCCAGACCCUAUCUUACAACAUACUGGCGUUGUAUAUCACCAUGUUCAAAAUUUCCUUUCCCUUGCCCCCUGCAAAUGCAUCGAAAAAAGAAUCGGUGCAGAAGUCCCGAAGUAAAGAUGAAAGCCAUGAAACAGCUAGCUCUGCAUCAACACGGCACUAAAAGCAUGUGGAGAUCAGGUACGGCAACCAGACCAAUCCAACCGUACAUCAUUGUUCUGGUACGAGGUAUCUAGCACGUCCUUCCACAUGGCAGUUUCUGUGCUUCCCCAUACUAACAUUUUAACAAAAAAAAGUUGGGGCGAGAUGAGCAGCAGACGAAUACCAUACCCAAGUUCAUCUAGCAGGACGAAGCGAAGAAGAAAUCAAACCUGCAAUCCGCUAUUACUCUGUGUCACUUCGCAUUUAAAUGUAACUGAACAUUAACUAACCCUCCUUGUGGUCCAUCUUAAGGUCAUCAAAUAAACAUUUACCCUGAAUGGCCAUUUUAAGGACUCAAGGACGAUGUUUGCAUUAGCACUAGAAAGAAAGAGCGCAUCGCGGAUUCAUGGACAAUGUCUCGCAAAACCAAGGAAAAGGGGAUACUGGAUUUGCUGAACCUGUAAAUUUCUUCACUCCACUGCAUCAGGGCUGUGUGUAACCUGCGCACAGAACAAUUCGUUCAGGAUAUACGAUGUUGAAAGUGGAAUAACAGAAGAAAGAGAUGAUGAAAGAAUGUUUAGUUUCCUAGGCAAAUAUGCCAGAUAAAAUGGGAUAGUGAGUUACCAUGUCAUGUGCUGUGGGACAUACAUCUUCGCAUAUGUGAAAUGCUUUUGCAAUUAAUGGUUGGGGGCAGAAAACUAAACAUGGACAAAGAUCUCGUGACUGUUGGAUCCAGCCAGUCUGAAUCAGUGCUAUGAUGCAAGCAUAUCAGUAUUCAGUAAGCACGGGAUCCACCUUGUCUGAACCAUCAAAACCCUUUUACGAACCUGCCAUCCUCCAAGGGCAGGGUGAACCAACAACACUUUCCUCUUCUUUCAUAUGAAGACUGAAGUCAUGCAGAGAGAAUGGAUCAGUGAGAGGCAUUCUCCACAAGCAGUGUUACUUUCUUUUAAAACUUGAUGUAAACUAAUACAAAUUCAUAAUCCUCGGAAACUUACAGGCAUCACUCCAAACUAAUACGAAAGCAUCAAUUUGCUUAAUGCGCUGUAAGGUCAAGGAAUUUCAAACAAACACAAAAUAUCAGUAUUUGAUCCGAGGCUUGACCUGUAUAUCUUCCUCCUUAUUCCCAAGAGAUAUCGCAAGAAAAAACUCAGGUAUACAAAAUUACAUUGAAGGAAGCUGUUAUAUCUUCAAACAAAAUUUUAACAUGAAGGUUACAGUCAUUUUUGUUAAGUACCAUGGUGAAGAAGAACUGCAGCAAUUGUGACAUGUGGACACAAUUUGCAGAGGCUGACAAAUGCAUUGGUACAGACAUGCAAAUUUUUACCUCACAAAAAUGCAUAUGCAGUGCAUAAAGAAAUUCAUGCUCAAAAGCACUUACACAUACACAUGUAAUCCGCUCAAGACACUUUGCUUCUUAUUUAUGUGGUAGACCUCAAGGUUAGCUAGAAAAAGAACACUGAUCAGCGUUAUUCCUAGCAAAAAAUGGUUCGACAAAAGUAAACUCUACACAUGAAGAAACAUGACGAACAUGGACUGAAUUUACCAUUAAUCACUCACCAGGAAGUAUAAGUAGUAGACCUGCCACCUAAUGAUGCAUCUAGGACACUUUUUGUAGGAGAACAACAGAACACCUCUCUGGCUGUUCUAUUGGCCUGGUUCUGUGACCCUUCGAUUUUGAUCCAUAUGUCAGCCUUCUCUUUCUCUGACACUGGGCUAGACACUUUUUUUUACGAGGUAGCAGUCCAACACCGCACCCACCACCACCACUCCCUCAACAGUUACCUUCAGUAAUGAGCCAAUGCUGUCAAUGAUCAGCUGAUCUUCUGAUCCAGCUACAUGACUAUAACUCUCUGUUUUGCAAGAUCAAUUUUGUCUCAUUACACACAUAGUACGAGUAGUCAAUUGGUUACAUUACCAUUCUACAGGCCGAGCUGCAGCCUUAUGCAUAAUUGUUAACUCAUCCCCAAACAUCAACAGCACUCCAGCCUACACCCUUUUCCACUCCAUAAUUCUUCAUCGUGUCUCUCAGUUUCUCUAUCUCAUCCCAUUUUUCAGCACUGCCAUAUGAAUUCGACAUUAAAAUAUAGUAUCCAUCAUUUCUUGGGUCAGAAGAAAAUGCCUUCUUUGCAACUCUUAAUCCCAUCUCAAAGUUGUCAUGCACUUUGCAGGCACUAAGCAAAGUUCCCCAUACCCCACCAUCAGGUUUUAUUGGCAUAGCCAAAACCAGAUCUUCUGCUUCUUGAAGAAGCCCAGAUUUUCCUAAGAGAUCUACCAUGCAUGCAUAAUGCUUCAGGUUAGGUUCAAGGCGGUAUCCCCCCAUACGGAUGAAAAGCUUCCUGCCCUCGUCAACAAGUCCUGCAUGGCAACAAGCAGACAGAAUGGCAAGAAAAGUGAGACUGUUAGGCUUAAUGCUUCCUGCCUCCAUCUCACUAAAUAGUUUCAAUGCCUGAUUUGCUUCGCCAUGCAUCCCAUAGCCUGAUAUCAUCACAUUCCAUGUAACAACAUCCCGUUGGAGCAUAGAAUCAAAAAUCCCUCUUGCAGUUCCAAGUUGCCCACAUUUAGUAUACAUGUCAACAAGUGCUGUACUAAUAGAUACAUCAGAUUCCAACCCCAUAUUUUUCACAUAAGAAUGUAGCAAUUCUCCAUGUUCCAGUGCAGCCAAAUUCGCACAAGCCGAAAUGACAGUAAUCAAGGUUGAGGAGUUGGGUUUGACAUCUUCAGUGAGCAUCUGACCAUAUAGUGAUAAGGCAUCAUUUGAACGUCCCACGUGAGAAUAGCUGGAUAUUAGUGCAUUCCAGGUGACAACAUCCCUCCUCAAUUUGGCCACAGCAAAUAUUUUGCAUGCGAGUUCAAAAUUCCCACAUCUUCCAUACAUCCCAAUUAACGAAUUUGUAAUUGAAUUUUCAUCAAGCAAGCACUUGAUUGAAUAACAAUGAACUGAUUGGCCUAAUCGUAGUCUCCCUAGCCGUGAACAAGAAGAGAUUGCAGAAACUAAGCUGGUGAUGUCACACAAAAAUUCAUCAUGAUCUCUGCACUGCAUUUGUCGGUACAACUCCAAACAUUUGACAUCAAGUCCAGCUUUGCAGUAUCCUGCAACCAUCAAACUCCAUGAUUCAUCAUCUCGUUGAUGCAACAUUCCAAAAACUGUGCCUGCAACAUCCACCAAUUCAAAUUUUCCAUACAUUGAGAUCAAAGAAUUGGCAAUCAACACACUAUCUCCAAAGUUUCUCCUUAUUAUAACUGCAUGAAAUGCCUUCCCUCUAUUUACAUUAGCACUGCUUCCCAGCCCUGAAAGUACACAGCUAACAAGCACCUCAUCUGGCUGUAGACCAGACUGCUCCAUCUCCUGGAACAACUCCACGGCCUCCCUGGCAAGCCCUCUCCUGCAAUAGGCUCCAAUUAAGCCAGUCCAGCUAACCACAUCUUUCUCUGUCAACUCUGGGAAUAAAAUGCAUGCAUCCUCAGUCAUGUCACACUUUGAGUACAUUGAGAAAAGCGCAGAAACCACCAAUGCACAAUCUCUAAUCCCUUCCUUCACCGCAUACCCAUGCAAGCAUCUCCCGGCAGAUAGCUCCCCUAGCACUCCGCAGGCCUCCAACCCACUCUCCAUUGUCCGUGAGUUCGGCCUCGCCCCGCUAUCACCUGCGAGCCUAAUCAUCUGCACCAAGUAGCAUAUCCCCUUCCCACAUUCCCCAUUCCGCACGCACCCCGAGACCACGGCUGUCCAUGCGACCACGUCCCUCUCGACCAUUUCGUCGAACAGCUUGACAGCGUCGCCAAGGCUGCCGCACCUGGCAUACAUGUACACCAAAGACGACGAGACCGCGACGGAACCAUCGCCGGCCAGGAGGCCGAACUUGACGGAGUAGCUGUGCACGGAGGUGCCGACCGGAAGGGCAGCGAGCUCGGCGGCCGCGGAGGCGGCAAGGGGCGCGGUGAACCGGGAGGGCCGCGCGCCAGACGCGCGCAUGCGGCGAUGGGCGGAGAGCGCGGAAUCAAAGUCGGAGGCGCAGUGGUGGGAGCGGAGGAGGGAGUUCCAGAGGAAGGUGUCGGGGCAGGGGGAGGCGGAGAAGGCGAGGGUGGCGAAGCCGGGGAGGCCGGAGGAGGAGUAGGCAGAGACGAGCUUGGCGGCGAAGUCGGGGCGAGAGGAAAGGCCGGAGGUUGAUGCUAGGGCGUGCAGGCGGAGGAGCGCGAUCAGCGGCGGGGGCGACGGCGAGGCUAGGAAUCGGUAGAGGAGGCCGAGAGUGCUGGGGAUUGGAGGAGGACGAGAAGGCGGCAUGGAGGCUUGUCGUUUGUUUUCAAACAGGUUGUUCUGGAAAUUGCGCGUGUCGAAUGAAACACAGGCACAAGUUUCCAAGUAUAACUGAAAUUUGGUGUCCAUGGGCAGCAGCACACCGCUUCUAUUUGCAUUUUUUUUCAUGUAAAUUUUCUCAAAACUAAUUUUCACGGAUUUUUUUAUAAAAGACUUGUACUCCGUAACACGUGAUAUGACCUAGAGUUUAUAGCAGAUCAACGUAUUCGCAAAUGAUCACGUAGCAGCUUGCUGAACUCGUCAGAUGCAUCCACAUUCGCAGGUAACGCUCAAAGAAAAUGGAAAGACCCACUGAAAGUAACGUACUAAUAUAAGAGCAAGUCCAGCAGCUCCCCGAUAGCAUCCCUGAUACCAAUUUUAGGGGAGAAAACCCAAAAAACGAUGUCCACCAGAUCCCGAUAGCCUCCCCAAAAUAUCCGUGUCCCCGAUCCAGCCCUCCUUCUCCCCUACAAAUCGGGGAGACCGAGGCCUCCCCUAUCCGCGUGAGGAGCAAUCCCUCCCGCCAAAACGAGCCUGGCACCACGUCCCGGCCCUCCUUCUCCUUUCUCCCGCCACAAGCCAGCCGAAGCCAGACACGAGGGGCGGCGGCCAGCAUGGGGGGGCGGCAGCGGCCAGAUGCGGCGGCCAGCAAUGUGGGCUGCUCGGUGGGGAAGAGAGAGAGGAAGAUGCGCGGGCUGCUCGGUGGGGAAGAAAGGAGAGGAAGUAGAGAGGGAGAGGAGAAAGAGAUAAGAAAUAGGUGGAGAGGGAGAAAGAGAUGAUAAACAGAAGGAGAGGGGAAGAAAUAGAUUAAAUUGUUGCAAUUUUGUGUGCAUUACAAGAGAAACAUUGCAUUACGUAGAAAACAAUACAGGCACCGCUUACACCCCACCAUGAUUUAAAAACAUAUUAGAGAUCUCAUACACUACAUUAUGAGAAUGACGUCCUGAAAGUGAACCUCGAUGGCGCGGAGCAUCCAACCCCGCAUGUUCUUCCUCAGCUAUGACCGCAACCAUCAUGAGAUCCUCAGGAGGAAUCUUUGCAAAAUUGCCAUGCCAAGCUUCGGCGGUGACUCAUUUUGUUGUGGAAAGAUGCAAGAGCGGUGAAAACGAAAUAGAAAAGGAGGCAGAAGCAAGAUUGUUAGAGAUAUGAGAGCAAGCCAAUCAUGUAUAUAUAGAUAAAAAAAACUAGCCAUUAGAAAUCCGGUCGUUUUAAAACUAGCACUGAGUUUCAAAUAGAAUAGGGGAGAUCUUUUAGGGAAACUGCUGGAGUUGAACAAUUUUUAGGGGAAAAGGAGACAGAAGCAAGAUUGUGAGAGAUAUGAGAGCAAGCCAAUCAUGUAUAUAUAGAUAAAAAAAACUAGCCAUUAGAAAUCCGGUCGUUUAAAAACUAGCGUUGGUUUUCAAAUAGAAUAGGAAAGAUCUUUUAGGGGAACUGCUGGAAUUGAAUAAUUUUUAGGGGAAAAGGGGGCAGAAGCAAGAUUGUGAAAGAUAUGAGAGCAAGCCAAUCAUGUAUAUAUAGAUAAAAAAAACUAGCCAUUAGAAAUCCGGUCGUUUAAAAACUAGCGUUGGAUUUCAAAUAGAAUAGGGAAGAUCUUUUAGGGAAACUGCUAGAGUUGAACAAUUUUUAGAGGAGAAAUUUUUUAGGGGAAUCACCUAUUUUGAGAUAUAUAUAUAUAUAUAUAGGAAGACAUUUUAGGGAAACUGCUGGACUUUGCCCUAACGUCCUAGCACUUCAGCAAUAUUUUGGCAAAUACAUCUGUCACAGGCUUGAUGGCACACUAUCGUAAUUCGUAAGCACGUUCGCCAUGUAAUGGCUUAUUAUGAGAGCAAUGUACAGAAGAUUCAGUCCGUGCUCACUGAUGUAUCUCGUUUUCAGAAUUUGAUGGCUCCAUUCUCCUGACAUGAGUGGUUCAUCUUAGUCAUCUACAGCUUAGAUGGAGACAGAUACCAUCCGUAUUUCUCAUCUGAGCAGUACUUGGUGACUUGCUUCACGCUCAAGUAGUUCUCGAGGCCCCUGAAAGCAACAGCAAAGAAAAUUUAGAGGGAUAUACCAAGUAACUUUAACAACAACAAACGAUUCAGAGGAUAUAGAUUGCAGAGUCAUUGCUUCAUCAGCCCAGCAGCAGUUCGUGGAAUCUAGCACUUGGUGUAUAAGUAUGACUAAUUACAUGUUUGCAUUUUUUAACACGUGUAUGUUUACAGCUAACAUCUCAAAAAGGAAGCUUACCAUUCUCCUAGCUCUCGACCAAAACCGCUCCGCUUGUUCCCUCCCCAUGGAGCUUGAACCAAAGUUGGUUGCGAGCAAUUUAUCCAAACAAUUCCCGAGUUAAUAACCUGCAAAUGGGGGAUUCACGGGAUCCACAUGUAUCAGAUCAAUGAAUACUUGGGUUUCGUUGCAAGUUUAAAAUCGAUGGGGUACAUUGUAAGUCAAGUUCAAUAUACCUUUGCAAUGCGCUCACACCUCUCCAGAUCAUCAGAAAUCACACCACCAGCCAAACCAUAGCUGAACGGAGUGGUAGAGAAGUCAUGUCAAUGAUGUAAGCUACAAAAAGUUCUCAUGUUUGCAAAAGUCAAGCAACUCACUGAGUAUCAUUCGCAAGUUCUACAGCUUCACUCUCUGUCCUAAAUACUUUAACACAGAUGACUGGUCCAAAGACUUCCUCUCGCCAAAUUUGCAUUGAUGUGCUAACAUCAGUUAUAAUUGUAGGUUCGAUAAAGAACCCUCUUCUGAGAUGCUGCCAAAUCACAAAUGUAGCUUGGAUGAAUAACGGGUGACAAGAACAUGUAACAUAAUGAUCCAUGCUUACCUUAGGUCGGUCACCGCCAUACAAAAUUGUGCCACCUUCACUUCUUGCUGUUGAGAUGAACUUCUUAAUCUUUUCAUACUGAAAUAAGAAUAAGUGGUGGUUUAAAUAAGAUUUACCGACUACUGAGUUACAUAGUGGUGCAGCAUUCAGUUCAAGAGACAUCUCAAUACUAGUUAUAGAAUACCACAUGCACACAACUUCUAAGGAAACUCUAUACAAGCUAGUUUCACUACUGUUAUAUUGCAAAAGCUAAAUAGUUAUAUUGCAUUGCAAAUUAUCACUACUGUUUUGAACAAUUAUUGAUUAAAUUUAACUUCUACACCAGAGUCUUAACAGGUCUACAAAAAUGUACAUAUUUGCAACCAAACUUAAGUUCAAUGGGCUCCAUUUUUGUGUUACCUGCCCUUCACUGACAACUGACCCUAGCCUGCAACCUUCUUCAAGUGGAUCUGAGAUUUUUAUAUUCUUUGCCCAUUCAACCAGUCUGUCUAAAAAUCGUUCUGCAAUUUUCUCCUGUUACAGUACGAAUAUUCAUGUCAUGUAAUAGAAAAUAACUUAAUGUCCGAAACAACCAGGAGAGCAUACAUACAUGGAGAAGUAAACGAGAAGUUGCACUGCAAACUUGACCACCAUUCACAAAACAGCCAAACAUGGCCCAUUCAACAGCUGUUUCAAGUUCAGCAAGACUAUAAUAAUUAACACAUCAAUCCACAAUUAGCUAAAACUACUUAUCAACGAAAUAUGUAAUAUCGACAUUUGUUCUUCCAUAACCCAGAGAAUUGUGGACUCUGAGUUAAAGUGGAAGUAAAUGGACUACGAACAUUGUGUGACAUCCAAGGGAGGAACAUACCUUUGUCAAUGUCAGCAACAUCAUCAAAGAUAAUAAGAGGACUUUUGCCACCCAGCUCCAGUGAAACAGGCUGUGUAAGAAGAUAAUGCACAACAGAAUGAGAAUAAUGGGAAUAUCAAAUCAAAAUUCAUGGAAUUCUUGAACCAAAAAUUAGCACAAGCACAGAAGAUCACAAGUUAUGGCAACUGAAUGAUAUAGGGAACACACCUUAACCAUUUGGGCAGCAGCAGUCAUUAUCCUCUUACCAGUUUCGGUACUUCCAGUAAAAGCAAUCUACAUGCAGGACCCAAAGAUAAUUUUAAGAUGAGCUUGAGGAUUGAUGAUAUUCAUAUAAGAUUAUGUGAUACUAUGUCAGUAAGAUAAUAACUCGGUACGACCAUGAGCAUAUGAAAAUAUAUAUCUGAAGAAUAGGUCUGACCUUAUCCACAUGGGGAUGUGAAGCUAUUGGAGCACCCGCAUCAGGGCCCAUACCAGUAAUUAUGUUCAGGACUCCUGAAGGUAGUCCUAUUUCUUCACAUAUUGCGCCAAGUUCUAAACAAGUUCUGUUUUUGAACAGAUUUUAGUCAUGUGAUACAAUAAUCAUGUAAAGGACAUAAAGGCAUCGAGGCUUACAGAGAAGCCAACUCAGAUGGCUUUAAAACAGCUGUACACCCAGCAGCCAGGGCAGGUGCAACCUUCCAAGUAGCCAUCAAUAGAGGAUAAUUCCUUCAUUUACACAAGGAAAAGUCAAAAUAAUUAGAAUUUCUAACUUCAGAGACACAGUGUUAUCAAGUACAAAAGUCAACCGAUAAAGAAUUAUAUUAAUUUGAUUCUUAAUACUUAAUAGAAUGACCAAUUUUUCCAUAAAAGAAAAGAAAUGACCCAUUUGUUCAGCAUGUGCUCGUAGAAGACUAAACAACAGUCUUCUGUAUGAUAGGAUUUUAGAAUUUCCGCUUGUUCAUCAAAUAUCAACGGAUCAACCAUAAGUACUUAUGGAAGUUGGAAGACAAAAAAAACAUGUCUACCAUGAAGUACAGCACCCUCAAAAUCUCAAGGACAACAGCUUCGAAACAGUCUUAGGAAGAAAAAAGGACAAGUGAACACAUAAAAGAUAGUACAACAUCCGCAUGUAGUCAUGGAUUGAAAGCCAAGAUUAUACCAGGGUGUGAUAAGUCCGACAACCCCGAUGGGUUCUUUAAGAACAUAGGACUUGAAAUUUUCCAUGGGCAGAGAUAUUGGUGCAUGUUGUUUCGCGUCUAAGGCUUCUGCCAGACCAGCAUAGUACUCAAAGCAUGCAGCAACAUCCUCCUAAGAUAAGAUGGAAAAGGCAUCAAAUGGAACAUUGAGCAUCUUCAGGCACAAGAAACGUUAUAACGUGAAUAAUAAUAAAAUACCAUGUCCGCAAUUGCUUCAUCCUUGGGCUUUCCGGAAUCAAGUGUCUCCAGCAAUGCCAGAAAUGAUAUCUUAUCUUUAAUCUGCACCAGAAUUCGAUAUUUCAGGAAAUUUACUGCCGGUCAUAACAAGCGUACCAAUGGACAGAUGGACAUCAAUUAUUGAAAGCAGAGACAAUAGGAAACUCUCUCGUGCUAACACAAAUUUCGACUUUCAGUCUUCCAUUUAAAAUACAGCAGAACAACAUGAAUAUAGUAAAUGUUACAUAUGUCUCAUGUGAAUAUGAAAUUAUUGUCAAAUAUUAAGAUCUAAAGGAAUGUAAUAAGUUCACAUGGUAAAAAGUUAUUAAAAAACUGAUAAUUUUCAACAACUAGCCGAUUGACCAGCGUGACUAUGCAGAGUGUAGUACUCCGUAUUGUAUAAUGUGCGCAGUUUAAAUCUUUGGGUUCGGUGUUUUCAGAGAAAACGAAGGUGACAUCCUUCAACAUCAUGACUGGAUGCUCAAUUGGAAUCCCUAUUUUGAAAAUAACCACGUGAUAGAGAAGUUUAGUGGAACCAUCUACAGGGUUUGCACCCUCUACCUUCGAAUUAAGCAUACUGCUAACCUAUUUUCUUUCCGGAUAUACUUGCAAGUUAUUGAUAAAGCAACUAUCAAAUAAAAGCCUUUAUAAAGGAUCGAACAAUUUAAGGGUCGGGUCCAGUGAUUUUCUUAUUAGUGAUAGUGUGUAACAAUUGUAGAGCUUAUUAUAAAACACAGAUAGUAAUUGGACUUGAUCAAAUAUUUCGGGAGAAGAUGCACGGCAUUAAGGGCACCCUUUCCUUCAGCCCCCAGAAACCAACUUCGUUCAUUCAGACAAUGAUACCGCAUUAGCUCCGCAAUUCCGUGUAUAAAUCUACUUUUUAAGAACAUGUAACAUCAACCUUCCAAGAGAUUAAGCUGGCCUUGCCAUAGAUAAGAGAUCGGCACCUUAGCGGCGAUGGCGUUCAUAUACUUGGCCCUCGCCGCCCCGGAAGCGCGCGACCAGCUGCUCCCGCCGUCGCGCGAGAACGCGUCCCGCGCCGCCGCGACGGCGAGCUCGACGUCCUCCGCCGUGGCCGCCGGGAUGUCACCUUCACCAAUCACCAACCGCACAACAAACCAAAAAGCUCAAGUCAGUACGGUACUACUGCUAGUACUAGUACCGGUGACCAAAAAUCUCGUGUUUCAGGGACACGGAGGGGGGAUGAUGGGGAUGGCAAAAGUAGUUACGAACCGAUGGUGUCCUCGGUGGCCGGGUUGAUGACGGGGAUGCGGCGGCCCAGGGUCGGCUCGCGCCACCCGCCGCCGAUGAAGAGGCCGCGGCGGGGGAUCUCCGGUCGGGCAGCCAUGGUGGUGUUGUGGUGGUGGACUGGUAGUAGUGCCGUAGCAAAGAGGGGGCGGGCGGACUAGUGCUGUGCUGCGGUGGCUCCUGUUGCUUUUGCAGUUUUGCUUCGACUUUGGGCGAGCACGCCUCCUUGAUUUGAUCCGGCGAUCUCAACUCAAUCAAUCGAUCAAGCGUUGGCCGCGUCGCAUCUUCCCCGACGCCUCUAUUUAUUUAUUUUUUGAAAAGAAGAAAAGAGAGAAAGAAGAAGAUGACGACGAUACGGGAUGGAUUUUAACCACGUUCCACUUCCACCACGGCCACGUGAACAGGUUGUCGCACGCGCGCGUCGUGUACGGCCCGGAAGUCCCACCAGUAUGCUUUGCUCGUGUUUUUUCUUCAAGGCCCGUCACCUUUUUACCUGCCUUCUCCACGUGCCGACAUGCAUAUCGUUUCAAAGGCGCUUCUGGGAAAGAUUCCCCCGUCCAGUCGGUGCUCAAAGGAUUUUCGUGCCCAGAAAAUCCGCCGUUUCAACGUGACCAUGCACACACGCUCGUAUCAGCGAGGAUUGCGGCUUUGUUCUCCAUGACGCAGCAAAUCGAGUCCCAGUUAAAAUUUGUUCCCAGUUUCUUGUCAGGGUCACAUGGUGUGCAUUCCACAUCAUUAUCUCGAAAAAAAAAAAUCCUCCCUACAACAAAAGAUGUUUCAAUUUUGUCAAAAUUUGUAUGUAUUUGGACAUGACUUAAUGUAUUCAUGUAUUCACGGGAAACAUGAGUAUUACACUACCUGUUUUGAUAAAAAAAAGGUAGGGUGUACAUAUAUCACAAUCGUCUAUUUUUUAAAAUCUCAAUCAGCAUGUCAAAACCGUCUAUUACUAUCUGAGUGGCAUGUACAUUCUUCUCUUUCCUCUCAUUUUGGGUGUGUAAAUAGCUUUAUUCUGCGCCUGGUAAAACUUGUAGUUAGCGCCUGUUGGUGAGGAAGGGGCAUGUAGGCCAUCUGGGUGCGUUAUCUGUCGUGUGAAUUGAACAUUGUUUCGUUUGUCUGAUGAUAAAUGGAACAGGGCAAGGCCUUUUUCUCUAAAAAAUAAUCUUAAAAACAUAAACUAGAUUCGAUAGCUAAGCAAUCGACUUAUCUCUAACUAAAAUCACGUGACUUAGAUGUAACAAAACCGUUUUUAAAGAUGUGUUGAUGCGAGAGAUGAGAUGAGUGUGGAGAGGGAUAGUAGUAGUUCCUUUAGAACAGAUUAAGAUUGAUGUUCUUCAAAAAAAUUUAAAAAGAUGAUAAUUUAGAGGAAAAAGGAGAAAAAAAGAUUGAUUUUUUUUAGACGAGGAGGUAAAGAUUGAUGUUCUUUACUUUACAGAAAGUAUGUAGGCCCGAUGGGCUACAAAAGAAGUAAUUAAGUCUGAUGGGGUGGACUAGAAUAUUAGUCCGAUAAUGAUGCAACGGAAGUGUAUUAUGGCCCAUCUGAUUUGAAAAUGUCAGUAGGCCGUAUGGGCCAGAUUACAGGUAAAUCUUGGCACCCUAACUAAUCAAUGUUUGGCUCAGUGGAAACUCGAGUGCAACUCUUUGAGACGCAUCGAAUUCAGAGUUUCAGACAAGGGGGCAGCACAACAUCUCAGAGCCCCUGGUCACUUUCCAGGUUUUUGCAAUCCAUAAUUCUACGUAGAGUUACAAGUUUAUGAUCAUGGUUGGCUUUGCUCGCUGCCACUCGAAAAUUUUGCGAAGCUCGAAGAGGGAAAAAAACAUCGAGUUACCACAAAGAUACAGACAACAGUACACCGGUAAAUAACAACUGCACACAGCAGUAGCAGUGUAGCACACGGUCUCCCGAGCUAUCCCUCCUACACGUGCAACCCCUUGACCGUCGGAAAAAAAUCCCGCGCGCGCAUGCGCUCCACGUCCGGAUGGCCAAGACUUCGGAUCGAACGGCGGCACGAGCGAUGUGUCUCGCGGCUCACCCAACGAGUCUCCCGCAUCGGCUCGCCCAUCGUCAGCUCGCCCGCAUCGGCUCGCCUGCGUCCGCUGCCCUCCCUGUCAACCGUCUAUCGGAUCGAGCGAGCGAGCGCAGCGCUGCAUAAACUUAGGGCACCCACGACGACGUCGAUCGCCAACGCGAUUGCCGCCGCCCGCCCCCGAUUGCCGCCGCGCCCAUGAUCUCAUCGGGUUCCGCACGCGCAGGAUGGAGAAUCGCGUGAUCGUCAUCCCGCCGCGGCCGGUCGCCGUGGCCGCCGCUGCGCCAUCGUCGUCCCCGUUGCCGGCUCUGGAUUGCACGCACGCUGCUAUGUUGCCGUUGGUCCUCAGGUAACUGCUGUUGCUGCUCAUCCUGCAGCUUUCCACGAUUGGAGUUCAUCGAUGAUGAGCUCGACAACGCUGUCCGCAGAGCAUGAUUCCUGUAGAAAAAUUCUAGCAUUUCUCUCCUUCCAGAUUCUCCAGUGGAUUAGGAUGGUAAUUGUGUCGAAAUCUCUCCACAACAGCUUGGGAGCACAUUUUCUUGCCGUAGUCCACCAAUCCUCACGGGAAUGGGGAAGUUGGCUCUGGACCAGGCUCGGAGGCGAAACCAAACUUGCUUGGAGAAGCUGCAAUGCACAACCAAUAGACCAAGCUUACAAGAACUGACAGAAGAUACUGAAGGCCUGAAGCUGUAGUUUCUGAACUGAACCAGAAACAAGAAGCUCCAGCUAGCUUCCUUGUUGAAUAUCAAUUGAAGAUCGUCCGACAUGAUCUACCAAGCAGAAUCAUGCAACAUAAAUGAGAAAAAUAUACUAAAGAGAAUCAUCAGACGGAGUUUGAGAUUUAAUUUAUCAAGAAAGCUUGUUGGGGACAAAGACCGAACACCUCGUGGGCGGUGGAGCUUGCACUGUGUAGAAGCCGACUAGCGUCGACAAUGGCAGGCGAGGAAGGCCGACGACGGCGAGCUCGGCACUGUGUAGAGGCGGUGGAGCUCUAGGAGGCGCCGGGCGUCGAGGAGGGCCGGCGACGGCGAGGUCGGGGUCGGCACGAUGGAGGAGCCUGUGAAGACGAGGUUGGGGUCGGGGUCGGCGCGGUGGAGCCGGUGACGGCGAGGUCUGCAUCCUGCGCGCGCGGAGCCAGAUGAGAUCAUGGAUGCGGCGACAAUCGGAGGCGGCGCCGGGGCGAAGCCGUGGCCGGUGUUGGCGAUCGACUUCGUCGUGGGUGCCCUAAGUAUGUGCAGCGCUGCGCUCGCUCGCUCGAUCCGAUCGACGGUUGACAGGGAAGGCAGCGGACGCAGGUGAGCCGACGCGGGCGAGCUGGCGAUGGGCGAGCCGACGCGGGGGACUCGUUGGGCGAGCCGCGAGACGGCAUCGCACGUUCGAUCCGAAGUCGCGGCCAUCCGGACGUGGAGCGCACGCGCGCGCGGGUGAGCCCAGCGCCCACGCGAUUUUUUUCCCCGCCGUCACGGACUCCUUGAUAACGUCCUCCUCCUCUCCCGGCUCCACCCACGGUCGCCGCGUCGUGCUCAUGCCCCCGUGCGCUUGUACUGGUACCGGCUAGCGAACACCAGGAACACCGCAAAGUUCACCACCCCUAGCACCGCCAGCAUCCAGUAGAAGAGGUCCAGCCUCCCGUCGUCCAGGUGUCCCCGAAUCCACGCGCCCCGCGUAACGGCGUCCACGGCUAGCACAAGCAGGCUGCUCAAGAAGAACCCCAUGGCCAACGUCGUCAGGAAGAGCCCCGUGCUCAUGGACUUCAUCCGCUCGGGUGCCUCCCGGCCGGAUGAAGAACUCGAGCUGCCCCACGUACGCGAACGCCUCGCCGGCGGCCACCAGGAAGAACUGGGCCACCAGCCAGAACGCGCUCACUGGGCCGCCGUUCGAAGACUCUUGUGCGGCGGAGACGUCCCUACGCUUCUUCUCGACGAGCGUGGCGACGGCCAUGGCGAGCGUGGCGAGGGCGAGCCCCGCGGCGACGCGCUGCAGGGAGGUGAGCCCAUGGGCCCGGCCCGUGAGGCGGCCCGCGAGCGGCACCAGGAGGCGCACAUUGAGCGAGGUGAAGAGGAGGAUGGAGAGGAAGAGGAACACGGAGAGGGACCCUGCUGGGACGGCGAAGCCUGCGCCGCCCACGCGGCGGUCCAUCUGCUCCGCCUGCUCGAUGGAGAAGGUGGUCAUCUGGGAGUAGAUGGUCCAGAAGAGUAUGCACGUGGACCAGAUGGGGAGCAGCUUCGCCACCAUGCAUCUUCACCUCCUCCACCUCCGCCACCGCCGUCGUCGUCGCCAGGUCGGCCUCCACGAUGGCUGCUUUGUCCAGGCACCUGUACAGAGGAAAAUUGACGGUCAAAACCCAAGCUACGCUCCAUCCAUCGUCCAUGAUCCAACAUGUUUUACGAUCCAAUCGUCCAUGCAUGAGCUAGUUGGCGGACGUCCGCCCAGGUGAAUAUGAGGAUUCCGACCAACUCAAGGAAGGAGGAGAGCCGCCGCCGUUGACCCGCCGGCCGGCGCUGGCCCAACCGGUUAUCUCCCGCCACCCGUGGCCGGCGUGCUCCCGCGACGCCUCGCCGCCCUGCCUUGCUCCAUCCGCCGCCACCGCCGAUCUGCCACCGCCCCAGCCAUCCUCCUACGCCCGGAAAUCGUGUGUUUUCUCCGACGCUGGCGGCACAUUCCUCACCCCCAACCCUAAGUUAGGGUCAUCGAGGGUUGGCUCUAAUCCACCAUCACCUGCUUGCCUCCGCCGUCACCGCCGUGGCCAGCCGCGGUGUCGCCGUUCCGGCUCGAGCUCUCUUCUGCGCCGCUCGGGAGGAAGGGGAGGGAAGCAAUCGCUGGGAAGGGAGAGAAUCAGGACUCGGGAGAGAUGACGAAGGAAACUGGGAAGGAGAAUCGGGAGAGAUAAGGAAGAGGUGGGGCCCUGUUAGGAUAAUCUUGAGUCUGAGUCGAGUCUAGCUAGGCGCAUGUGUUUGUGUCCUAAUCAGAUUAGGAGCGUGUCUAUGCGUGAGUUAGUGUUCGUGUGCAUGUGUGGUUCAGCGUGGGUCUCUGUGUUCGAGUGGGAUUAGUAGUCCGUGUGUGUUUAGGUGUUCUGGACAACCGUGUGUGUGUAUAUAAUGCAUAUAAUGCUGGGUUGUAAGGUCGUGAGUUUUGAGUUCAGAGAAAUAAAAAAAAGAAGGUACGUCACGUGCCCUUGCAAUUAUCCGGUGAUCGUCGUGUGCGUGUGCGUUUUUAUGUGAUUGAUACUUGAGCAAACCCAACAGGCCCACGCUGGACUUUUUGCAGAUACAACUAACCGCGCCGCGCGGUUAGACGCCAAACAAGGAAUCCGGUUAGUAUGUUUAGUGCAAAUCAUUUCAUAAGACACAACUCUCGAGCCUCGACGACUCUUCUUUUUUCCUACGCUGCAAUUCUGCAUGCAAAACAUCCACAUGGAUGCAUGGUGCAUUCUGCUAUGCAUGCAUGCCUGAUGGCAGCAAGGUUUCAGUAUGGAGCAGAAUAAUCUGUAGUGCUCCCAAAAAUGUAUCGAAGAUUGGCCCCAAAAUUGUCAUCAAACAUGCAUACUACGUUCACUAGUGGCGCCGGCCGUUUUGUUUGGAGGUGGGUUUGUAUGGCAUGUCGGCCUGGCUCCUUCGGUCUCCAACUUCAAAUGCUUAGUUGCAUAUGCAUCAAACGUGCAUUGGGCGCUUCGAGAUGUGUCUCGUAUGAUUCUGGCUUUACAAUGACGUAUACGCCAUCAUCCAAGAUAUCUCCAGUACCGCGUUCUGAAGUUUACUGACCAUCACCUCAUAUGCGAUCUGGCUCUCGCGAUUGGUCGUAAGUCCUUCGCUAGUUUGGCUUCGGACAAAGGGUGAGUCGUCUCUCGUGUGCUAAUAUGCCAUGUGUCGACGUACGUUAUGUGUGUGUGCAGUUCUAGUAAAAGAUCCACUAGUCUUGGAUUGGUUCUCAUGUUGGUUCCCAUUUCCUGGCAAGUGUCGCAGUGUUGGCACAACACGAUCGACUUCUGGACUUUAGCCUGUCCAUUAAUUUCGGCUGCUUCUGUUCCCACUCACGAGAGGAAGAAAACACUCGCUUAGUUCUAUUCUUGGACUCCUUUCAUAUGGACUACGUCCUACGUAUCAAACUUUUUGUCUGCGUUUCAUCCCACAGGAUCCAAACGCAGAGCACGUCUCAUACUCUCAUAUAUACGUGUGAGAGUGUGGUGAUCUGCUAAUACUCUAAAACUCUUGUUUGCUACGAGACAAUUACUUCAGAACUCAGAAGUAACCAAAUGCUCCAAAUGUACUAUACUCAAAAUUUCCAAAGCCAAGUUUGGACAUGCAUGCUAACAACUCUGAAAAAAAUGAUUUCUGAUUUCUAGUACUGUAUUUUAACUAGAGCGAUUGUUUGCUGUUAAAAAAAAACUAGAGCAAUUGUCAUUUCCGUUAGAAUUAUUACUACGUACCUGAGCGUCCGUGUGUGGCAGUUUGGCCAUAUGGAAUCCACGGAGCUCGCGGGCAUCGGCGGGGCACGGCAGCCUCCGGUUCCUCCAGGCCGCCCACAGGACGCGGCCGAUCACCGUGAGCGGGCUCCCGGCCCUGGGGCAUCCGGUACCUCGGCGCCCCCGCCACGAGCACGCCCACGACGGCCGCCAUGGCGAGCGCCGACACGCCGUACCCCCAGCCUCGCCCGACGUUGUCCUGCACGUACAUCAGCACGGUGACCGCGAAGAGCAACCCCGUGAUGCAGAAGUAGAAGCGUUUGAAGAAGAACAUCAUGGCCCGCUGCUCCCUCGCGUCCAGUUGUCGUGCUCCGGGGUGGCGCGAGGCGGCUCGUGCCACAGGAGCACCUGGAGCGCGUCGAGGGCCUCGGGCCUGGUGCGGAUCCCCUCGGGUCGCUCCUGGCGUUCUCCGCGCUCGCCUGACGACGGGCGCGGCUGGUUGAUGGGGAUAUGGCUGUUCGAGUCAGCCAAACCCGUGCGGUGCGAGCCAAGCAGGCGCUCGUUCCCACGACAGGGAUGCGGGUCCUCUGCCGCAUGCAGGGGGUCAUUCGAGGGGUUUUGCAGCCCUAGCUCACCCCGUCCCCUCCACCGGCACCCCUCGACAGACCAGGAAGUGGCGCAAGCCUCAACGCACGCUCGGCAGAAGUCCCAGCCCCGGGGAACGGGGGAGGCGGUGGCAGCUCCCCAUGCGGCUGCGGCAGCAACGCUCCCCUUUCUUGGGGUCGUGAGCGACCGGGCGCUUCCGGCGACCGGGUGUGCUUUGCGGUGGGUCUUCAGUGACAGCCUUGGAGUCCUUCCGGGGAGCCAUCAAUGUCAUACCGCUCGCCUCGCUUGCCCAACCCUCCUAUUCCUCUACUUGAAGAUGCUCCUUGCUACUUUCUUCGUGCUGCCUUUUUUUUUUGGCUCUAUGUUGGCCUUAGCCCUCCUUUUAUACUGCAACGGCGGAGCUACGUGGAGGCUAACCUGGGCCACAACCCCCCCUUUGAAAAGUGCAAAAAUUAAUUAACUAGGGAUCUUCAGGCCCAGCCCAUGAACAAGGGAGUCCAACACCACGCACGCAGCCUCUCCCUCGCACGUUCUCCUUGUCUUCUCAUCGCCGCUUCCUGUUUCUCCCUCCAGGCACCGACGCACGGGCUAUUACCAAUUCCCAAAUCCCUAAUUCCCCUCCUUUCUUGCUCAGUUCUCACGCUCUGGUGUCAUCCACGGACUGCAGCAGCACUCAAGCUGGGCGCUGGCAGGCAACGUGUGCCCGUCCUACGGCCUGGAUGAACACCCACGCCUGCAGCACGCACACCCGCACACGGCUCACCGCCAGCCCGUCCUACGGCCAACACACGAGCAGGACUGAUGCCCGCGGGAGCACUGUUUCUGCUUAGUAUGUCCUAUUGCCUUGAUUCUUUGUGAAUUCUGAAUAUUUGAGAUAUUCUUGAUUGGUCAUAAUUGAACAAAAGGAAAAAGAGAUGAAGAAAUUGGUGAACAUAAAUCUGCUCCUGGUUUAUAUAAAGAAAAAUGGGGAAACAACCUUGGAAGCAGCUUGCUGCUACAAGUAGAACGAUAAGCAGAUAUAUGUGCACUGGGUUAGGGCUCUUUUCCUAUUUACUUUGCCGCUUGCAGCUUGCCUAAUGCUGGCUGAGAUGCUCUGUUCCUUUUCUGUUUGCGCUGCUAAGACCUUUGUAAAAACUUCUGGUUUCUCUAAAAGAAAUCGAAUAGGAAAAACCUCUCUUUUUCACAAAAAAAUGUACACUGGGUAUUUCUAUGAGCAGUUAAAUAUAUCACCAUUAUGUCAUUGCUCACUAAUUAUUCCUUAUAUAUGUUCUAUCACUUGGCAUGUGUCCGCCACUGACUACAAGGGAAUACUACACCGGGGCACGCUAGCUUAACAAGUGUCGUGGGCUAAGCGGGGCGGUGCAGGCGUCGGAGCCUUUGCUCCACGCGGCUCCCUGGGCCCUGCACCGACGGGACUGGAUGCGCCGAUCAGUUCUGCGGGCCUGCAGGGUCUUGUCUUGUCGAUGUACAUCAGGGAUUCCUGCCCUGCGCCUCCAAUGGCCCUGCCUCUGCACCUCCUGCGUACUUGAGUGCGCGAAGGUCUUGAACGUCCCGCGGCUACGGCCCCACGUUACGCGCGCAAGUUUCCCCUCGGGCCCACCCCUGCCGGGGGCACUUGCCAGUUCGGGUGGGCACGCUUCCAUCUCCCCCGCUGUCGUGGCGGUGUCACGACAGAUGCCAUGUGAUGACUUGAGUUGGGGCCGAUGGACGAUGGUGGAUCCGGAGGAGGGAUGACGUAGAGUAAUCACGCACAACUCAGAGAGGACAUGAUGUUUACCCAGGUUCGGAGCCCUCCUGUAUCUAAGGGAGGAACCCCUCUCAUAGGAGAGGUGAAGCCUCUAUUUAUAGGCUAGGAAAGUUACACUGACGAGUGGGACAAGGGAAAACCCUAACUACCCCCGGGCCCGCCGGGUAUGCCCAUGGUCCCCUCCGGAUUGUCCGGGAGGGGACAACGCAGCUUUGUGCUUUUCGUACCGUGAGGUGACGCGCACUGUAGCCAUGCUUUGGCUCUCGUCACCGUCCUUCUACGGCGCGUCACUGUGCUGUCAUCCAACACGGCGACGUGAGUAAUGACUGCUUUUCCGUCAUCAAAGGAGCGUAGCUUUACUUUAGGCCGUGCGAUUCGGAUAAAACUGUUGGCAUAUCCCGGUUCCAACCGACAUAAUAUAGCUUGUGCUUGUCCUGCAAUCACAUGCGGCAAGAUAGAGAUACCGGCAUACUUUUGGUAUGCCGGCCUAUUAGAAAGUUGGCUUAACUGUGUCGGCUUACUUGCUUACACUGACCUUGCUCUUGUUUAGCCGGCCAAUAUAUGUCGUCAUGACCUACCCGGGGUCAUUCCCCCAACAUCUGUGCGAGGCCCGCGAGGGUGGAGUGUUCGUGAGCCCGAGCUUUGUGCCUCAGCCCACGUGCCCGGGUAGAUUUGCAGCCCUGAGUAUAAGUGGCUAUCAGGCCGGCCCGGCCCCAACUAAACGGGCCUAGCCCGGGCACGGCCCCCCCAAGGCCGACAAUAAAGGGGCCGGGCCGGCACCAAAUGGCCAUCUCAAGGCCCAGGCGUGGCACCAACCACUCGGGACAGCCACGCCCCCCUAAGCCCAACGGGCCUGAAAGAAAAGCCCGUGGAAAACUCAGCCCAGCGGCCUUUUUAGAUUGUGCCAGCCAGUUGAAAUGGGUCAAAAACAGCCUUGUGCCUAUAACUAGCGUAAUAGGGGCCAGUUCUUUUCGGCUUCCUGGAGCGGCUUUCUCAGAGAAGCCGGGUUUAGAAGCCGAAAAGAACACACCCUAGGUACCUUGGUCUAGUGGUCAGCAAGCCAAAGGAGUAAUAGGAGGUCCAGGGUUCGAUCGUUGACAUAAGAAACCAAUUGCUAAUCGGGCCGGGCCGACCCGUCGGGCCUGAGGACCCGGUGCGCAAUUAUGACUCGAGGGCCUUAAUACAAUAUCAUAACAAUAACUAAUGUGUGUGUAUAUAAAAUUUCACCAACAAACAUUCAUCUGGAUUUCUCGCUACGCUUGACCUGCUUGCGUUACUCUUCAAUUUUUUUUCCAUUUUAUCCUUUAUGCAAUUUUAUCACGUCAUCAUCCCGUUUCUUUCUUUUUCUUUUCUCACCGCCAGAUGAAUACUUUCUAGAUGAUGAUUGAUUCAUAGUUCUGAAAUUUAAUGAGACUAUAAAAUUUACAAAUUGAAAACGUAUAAAAAAUUAAAGAUCAAAGACGCAAGCAUGGAAAGAUAGCUACUUCGUACUACAAUCGCUCACCUGCAGCCA